UGCAUUGACAUCUAUUGUAUUAAUUUGGCCGGGGAAUGCCCCGAAUUAUCUGUAUAUAUUUAUUCACCGGGGAAUGCCCCGAAGUACCUUGUACUUGGAAGAUGUUCGUGGUAAAGGCCCGAGGCAUCGGGUGAAGCGGUAGAGCGUAGUCUAGAGUAGACUAGAUUUAUAUUUCCGCAUUAUUUAUUUUUGGACUGUAUAAUUGGACUGGACUUUACAUUUCGGAUUGUUUUGUUUUGUUUGAUUUCUGUUCGCAAACCAGUUUAAGAGUUAAAUGGUUUUCGAAAAGGAUUUUUCAAAAGUGACUUGGCACACCGGAUUAUGCCAAGUGGCGACUCUAAAUAAAAAAUGCAAAUAAUCCUUUUCCGAAAUAAAUUUUCAUUUCUUGUCACUUAAAUAAUAAAGCUCUUUCGAACUUUAAAAUAUACAUUUUUUUUGGAGUACACGUAAAAAAAGAGGUGUGACGGCUUCUGGCGACUCUGCUGGGGAACAAAUGACAAGUUUUCAGAAUUCGAGCUAUUUUUGGAGUCGUAUCGGCUUUGUUUGGUAUUACGAGUGUAUAAGCUUGAUUUGUGAUUUUGUUUUGUGUUAUUUUUUUCAUUUUUGUGUGUUUUUCGUGCUCUUUGUUUAUAGUAUUUAUCCUAUGUGUUACCGCUUUUAUAUCUGUCAUCAUGAGUCCACCCCCCGGCCUUCUUUCUGCAACAAGUCCGUAGUACACGUGUUGUACACAACCUCUAGUUGAGUCACCCUUAUUUUAGGGGGGAGCCGUCGGUGUUAUGGAGUAGGUGGAAAGCAAAGCAGCCACUAUCGACCAUACGCUCCCCCGAACAGCCUUGUUAGUGAAUUACAACGUAGGUCAGCCUUUAAGUCAUGCUUAUGUGCAUCAUACGGAGACCUAGCGAGACCCACAUAGCCCUUUGUAGGAGACUCCCCUUUAAAGCAUCCCUCGUGCUAACUGCUGCAUUUUUAAGGGUAACGUGGUCAUUUGACGGACUGAUUUUAAAAAAAAAAAUUGUUAGGAAUAAGGCGCGUUGGCAAAAACGAAAAAGAAAAAAAAUAAAAAUAAAAAUAAAAAUAAAAAAUAAAAAGUAAGUCUAAAGGAAUAAAAAAAAGAGGAAUGUCGUGGUUUAUUUUAGAAUUCGUUAUGACUUUUGUUUUUCACAAUCCAAAAUCUCAAAAAGAUUUUUUUUACGUUUUGUAAAGUACCAUAAAUUCAAAAAGAAAAAAAAUAAAGAAGAGAAAAAAGUUUUGUUUGCCUUUUCUACUUAUUUGUCAAAAACAAAAAUGCCAAAAAGAUUUUUCUUCAUAAUUGGUGGUGUCAGUGCCUAACUGAAAAUCCAAAAGUUUUUUUUUCGUUUGUCUUUGGUAGUGUCUCUUAAGUUAGAGUCAAUUUAUUAGUGAAUCGUUAAUUGUCAAAUCUGGAUGAACUACGCAUACCUGAUUCCCUUCCCUUGGGUUGGGAAUCGUAGGCAACCCUCCGUGGGUCCGGUAAAUCUUUGUGUUGGGCUUUGUCUUCUUAUUAGCCUAGGUCUCUCGCCCCGUAAUCUAGAGUUGUUUUUCAAGUAGACUGAUUUCGCUCAGUACUUCUGUUCGGAAAAUUGGAGUCAUGAAUGUGGUUUUUCCCAUCGACAUAUGUUUGCGUCAAAAAUCCCAAGGGUUGGGAAUCGUCUACUCCUGUCAAAUUUUCUGAGAUAACGUCUUGUGUGUUAUUACAGGAUGGAUUUGUCCACCAAGUCUAGAGUUCUGAUGGUUGUCAAGGUGCCCAAAAAGUUAAUCAAAUGGUGAGAAAUGUUUAACUAUGUUGAUCAGCAGAAACUGGUUAAAAUAUUGGGUGAUCUUACGGAACUUCUGCAUGUUACCCCUCGUCCAGAUUUAAUAGAGGCUUUGUUGACCUUUUGGGACCCAAGUAGUUUGGUGUUUAGGUUUAGGGAAUGUGAAAUGACUCCUACUUUGGCAGAAAUAUACGGUUUGUUGCAUUCGCCCUACAUCGAGAAGGUUAUGAUCCGAGCACGAAAUCAUACUGGCGUAAGAUUUUUGCAGUCUUGUGGUUUAAAAAGUAAGGGUAUCCGUUUGGGUUGUUUAAGUGAUUCGUGGGUUUCCCUAGAUUUUUUGUUCGCUAGAUUCGGGCCCUUGGAAGGUUUUGAUUGCUUUUGGGACGAAUUUCAUGUGACUAGGGAGAGUGGGAGAGAAAGCGUCUUGAAGUCUUCACCCUCGCUUUGUUAGGUACUUUAGUGUUUCCAUUAGAAGAAAGACGUAUUAAUACCCGUUUGCAAUCUGUGGUAAUGACCCUAUUUCAUAAGGAUCAAAAAGACAAGGGCAUUAACCAAAAGGGAAGGUUCACUCUCAUACCCAUGAUCUUAACAGAAAUAUAUAAGGCUUUAACCGAAGUGAAGGGGGGAAGGAGAUUUUUUGAAGGCAGUAACCUGAUAUUGCAGAUAUGGGUGAUGGAGCAUUUACAUGCGCCUUCUUUAGUUAGACCAGACGUGUUAGAUCGUUGUAUUCCCAAUCGAGUGAAAGGCAUGGACUCCAGGUUGCGUUUGGAUAAAUUCUCGUUACCCNNNNNNNNNNNNNNNNNNNNNNNNNNNNNNNNNNNNNNNNNNNNNNNNNNNNNNNNNNNNNNNNNNNNNNNUCCCUUUAGUUAUGUUAGGGCUCAAUUGCACUAGACCAUACAGUCCUUCUAGGGUAAUGCGCCAGUUGGGUAGGCUGCAGGACGUGCCACCAGCAGUGGAUCUUCUGAAGAAUGUUGAGUACUUCAAGGACCAAGCCUUAGGUGAGAGCAAGUAUGAGCAGUUUUGGAAGCAUGCAACAAAGCUAAGUGUGGACACGCUCAAAAAAAGUUUGGAUAAUUCGGGCCAUACUCAGGGAUAUAAGGUCUGGCUUCAAUCUAUCCCCCGAGGUAUCAGUCAACCCUUACCAGCGCAGCUUAGAGGGAGAAUACAGGAAGAAUGCAUAAUAGACGACCAUCAGGAUGAAAGUGUAGAGUUCAAAGUGGAAACACUGAGAGUUCAGUUAGCAGAUUUGUUCAAGACGGUAGAAAGGUGUCAGAAUAAUCUUUUCAAGUGCACUCCUCAUAAAGCAGGAAUACGGGCCCGAAGCUUCUUCCCUGGUAUCAGGGUAUCUUUACAGGAUAUGCUACAAGGUUUGAAUGGGAGAAAGAGAACUUCAGAGGCAGGUCCAUAUCAGUCAGGGUCAUCACGCAGAGCACCAGUUGAAAGACCAUUUCCUAUCUUAUUUCAGUUUGAGUCUUUUAUGUGUCUGUCAUCGUAGGGUGGUGUCUACUUUAAGUCGAAGGCAAGUUGUUUUGGUAUUAGGGUCUUUAUUAGUAAUUUCACCUAUGUCGUUUUAGGGGUCUAGAAUGUCGUUUCGUAUUUGUUGUUUAGUUUUAAAGUGGUCCCAAACUUUUGUACGUCUUUGUAGUUUUCUUUCUUCAAAAUGUUAAAAUGUUUCGUCUUUCCUUGUUUGUUUAUUUUUGUUUUCGUAAAAAAAAAUGAUUGGCACAAACUACGCAAGAUCUGAUUCAUGUACAACAUGAUGCGUAGGCAACCUACUUUUGGGUUCGAUCUAAUCAUUUUGUUUUAUUGUUUUUCAUUAUUUUUCCUCUUUUAAAGAAAAACAAAAGCCAUAAAGAAUGAUAAAAUGAAGGUAGAUAACGAGAGAAAAGAAAAGAGCAGAGAUUGAUAUGAAAAAAAGAGAAGGAAAAAAAAAAGAAAAGAGUGGGAAAGAAAAAUAAUAGGUGUAGAAAACAAAGUGUAGAGAGAAAUCAGGAUGAUGUUAAAAUGACCUCGCUACCCUCAAAAGUUGGUAGAAAUGAACAUGAAUUUAGGACAAUUUUACCAAUGUGAUUCCCAUGCUUGUUGUGUGCCUUAAUCCUAACGGAUGUCGUCUUUGAUGAGCAUGUUCUUUCAGAUAAUAGUGGUAGGUUUGCAGUACUCUAGCUAGUCACCCAUACUUCACUAGAUCCAAAGAAAAGCUCGCCAUGGCUAGCAGGGAGAUUGAAAAUUCGCUCAUUGACCCAGAUCAGGAUCCCAGGGAAGAAAGUUCUGAACACAAUGAUGAGGUAGUAAGACUCAGGCAACAAUUGAUAGAUUUACACCGGGCAUGGGCCAGCGGAAUGCCUCCUCCUCCGCUCCCUGAAGGUCUUGGAAAUAUCUUUAAUUGUCCACCGCUCUCUCAGGCGCAAUUCUCUGCUCCUACUGAGUCACCUGAGCACGCGCCAGGAUUCACUCCGCGACAUUAUUAUCCUGGCAGUUCUGGUGUGCCCUUGGCAGCUUCCCAAUUAAGACCCGCUGCUUGUCCAGCGCCACCGAUCACACCGGUAUUCGUGGCUCGGCUACCACAUGAAAUUCUCAUAUAUGCUGUGCGUCCCACAAUGAGGCUUCCUAGGUCUGCCAGUGAGCCAGUACUGAAGGUUUCAGAUGGUCAGUAUUACGCCCCGGAGCCUACUUUGCAAAUGAAUGAACCAUAUGGGUACACUCAGCCUCCUGUAUUUCUAUUUGAUACGGAGAAACCUGUCGCAGCAGAGGAACAGGAUAUCAUAGCCUGGAAAUUGAAAAGUUUAGAACAAGCUAUGAGGAAUUUGCAAGGAAUAGGAGAUUAUAGGAGUGUUUCCUAUAAAGAUAUUUGCAUGUUCCCAGACAUCAACCUUCCCCCCGGUUUUAAGAUGCCUAAGUUUGAGAAGUAUGCAGGACACGGCGAUCCUAUGGAACACUUAAGACGUUAUUACAGCCAGUUGAGGGCUGCAGGAGGAAAAGAAGAACUGCUCAUGGCGUUCUUUGGUGAGAGUCUUUCAGAUCUGGCCUCAGAAUGGUUUAUCGAUCGAGACAUCGAUAAAUGGAACAGCUGGGAUUAUUUGGUGUUUGAAUUUGUUCAACAUUUUCAGUACAACAUCGACCGGAUUUUGGAUGAAAAAUCCUUGGUCAAUAUGAAGAAAAAGAGCACUGAAGGUUUUAGGGAAUACACGAUAAAGUGGCGUGAACAGGCCGCCAGGGUAAAGCCUCCAAUGAAAGAAAGUAAGUUGGUAGAAGUUUUCAUUCAGGCGCAGGAUGAGACCUAUUUUCAACAUUUACUUCCGGCAAUGGGAAAAUCUUUUAUGAAAGUCCUCAAAAUGGGGGAGAUGAUACAGGACGGAAUUAAGACCGGCCAAAUAGUGGGUUUUGCCGCAUUAAAAGCCACCACACAAGCGAUUCAAGGUGGAUCUGCCGCAUUUGGAGGUAAAAGGAAGAAAGAGGAUGUAGCGACUGUCGUAGCUGGAACCCAUUCCUAUCCCAAAAGACCACCUCGCCCCUAUCCCCAAUCCCAAGCCCAAAUCUACACCCAAGCUCCAUAUAUUCCUCCCCACCAUUACUACCCUCCACAAAACCCUUUAUAUUCCAUUCCACUACCCCCGUACCCAGUAUAUAGUGCACAGCCAUAUGCCCGAACCCCUUCUUACCCGCAGUGGCGCACGCAAGCUCCACAAAAUUGCCUAUUCGCUCCAUCAAAUUACCAAAACCCCUCCAGACCCAGUUUUCAGCCUAGGCCCGAGUAUAAGAAAGAGAAGGCGGUCAAAAAUCAAUUCACACCUCUUGGGGAGUCAUAUGCUAGCUUGUUUGAUAGGUUGAGAAAGUUGAAGGUUUUAAGCCCAAUUCAAGGAAGGCUUUCAAAUCCACCGUCGAGGAAUCUCGAUUAUUCUUUAUGGUGUGCGUACUGUUCUGACAUUUGAGGCCAUGAUAUUGAGAAAUGCUGGCAUUUAAAGAGAGCUGACUAAGAUUUAAUUGACACAAAUCAGGUCCAGGCCCCGGAGGGUCCAAACAUUAACCAGAAUCCGCUGCCAACCCAUGCUGAAGCCAAUAUGUUAGAAUUGAUAUAUGACGAGAAAGAGUCUUCGAGGGGUUAUAAGCCUAUUGUCAAGAUACUGACCAUUGAGGAGAAAUCGGUGAAUGUAGCGGAGUCUUUGAAAGCAAUGUCAUUGAGCCAGGAAGGAAUAAGAGAAGAUAAAGCCCAAGAAAGCACAAAAAAGCCCUGAUCAUUGUACAAGGCGCCAGAAAGUAUGUUGAUUUAAGUCAGGAUAAACCUAAGUUGACAGUGGUGGGAUCUUUGAGUCAGCCCAUCUUGACGGUGAAAGGAGCGUUGGCAGUGCCUAUUAUCCUCAAACCGGUGACCCAACCUCCGAUAGUUGAUACGAAAAGAGUUCCCUGGAAUUAUGGGCGGAUUGUGAUGACCUAUCACGGGAAAAAAGUUGUGUAAGAUGUAGAUGAGGUAAGGGGUUUGAUUAGGUCAGGAAGAUAUUUCGUGACUGAAAGCUUAAGAAAGUCCCAGACAACGGUGAGUGGACCGUCAUCUAUCAAAAAGCCUAUCACCAAAGAAGAAGCUGAAGAAUUUUUGAAAAAGAUAAAAUUGCCAGAGUAUUCAAUAUUGGACCAGUUGAAGAAAACCCCUGCUCAAAUUUCCCUUUUAUCUUUGCUGUUGCACUCCAAGGAGCAUCGUGAUGUUUUACUGAAGGUAUUAAAUGAAGCAUAUGUUCCAAGGGAGAUUACAAUCAACCAACUUGAUAAAAUGGUUGGAAAAAUCUUUGAGGUCAAUCGGAUCAGCUUUUCUGACGAUGAAUUGCCUGUUGAAGGUACAGGGCAUAAUCGGGGCCUUUACAUUACAGUGAAGUGUGAAGAUUUCAACGUCACUCAUGUUAUGAUUGAUAGAGGUUCAGGUGUAAAUAUUUGACCUAUUUCUACUUUAUAAAAGUUGAAUAUUGGUGCUGACAGGAUCAGGCCCAACAAUGUAUGUGUUAGGGCUUUCAAUGGUGCAAAAUCAAAUUCCAUUGGUGAAAUAAAACUAAUGUUGACCAUAGGGACUGUUGAGUUCGCCAUAGAGUUUCAAGUAUUGAAUGUAGAAUCCUCUUACAAUCUGUUGUUGGGAAGGCCGUGGAUCCAAAAGUCCAAGGCGGUUGCAUCUACACUACACCAAAUGAUUAAGUUUGAGCAUGACAGGCAAGAAGUAGUUAUUCAUGGUGAAGGAGAUUUUUCAGCUACGAAGAUUCUCCCUUGUCUCUUAUUGAAGCAAAUAACGUAGAGGAGACAUUCGUCUAUCAAAUUUUUGAUACAGUGCUAGUGAAUCGUAUCCUUGAAUGGCAGGCGAUACCGGGACCGCAAUUGUCUUCUGCUUUUAUCACGAUGGUGAGCGAACUUUAGAAAUACGGAUUUGAGCCAGAAAAGGGUUUGGGAGCGUCUCUGUACGGUAUAGUUCAUCCCAUAUGUUCGAGUGAGAAUGUGGGCACGUUUGGUCUGGGAUUUGAGCCUACAGCUGAAGAUCUGAAGAAAGCCAAGGGAAGGAAAAAGGAAAUAUGGUCACUCCCUCGCCCAAUGCCACUACUCAGUGAAUCAUUUGUUAAGAUCGGUGUCACGAACCAUGUGGAAUUUGAAGUUGAAUUGGUUGAUGACUUCCAAAACCUUUUUAUUGAAGUUGAUAUGGUCGAAGCAGGAGAAGGUAGGCAGACGUGCAAUUCAUAGUUCCAGCUGUUCGGCUCAAUAAUUGGGAAGUCACUCCUCUCCCCGUCAGGAGGGAGUUUUGGUAGUUUAUUUUUUUUUUCUUUCUGUUUAUCCGAGCUAUUUCAGGGUUGUAAUUCGGAUUUUAGUUUGUUUGUGUUAUGUUGGCAUCUGUGUUUAAACCCUUAUAUCUUUUUAUUUAAUGAAAUGCAAUGUCCCUUUUGUUUCGUGUCUAAUAUAUUUUGUUUUUCUUUUUUACACAGUUCUCUUUAUGCUGAUUCUAAUGACAUGACAUGUAUGUGAAUUUUUAGCCUGAUCUUAAAGUCCAAACUAAUCAAGAUGUAAUGAAACAGGAUGGGGGAUAUGAUGAAGAAGAAGCACUAGAAGAAAUAAGCAAAGAGUGGGAACAGUUUGAAGACAAACCGAAUCCUAAUUUAAAAGAAACUGAGCCAAUAAAUCUAGGGGAUCAAACUGGCUUACUAUGGAAAAGGAUUCUAUUCAAUUUGUUUGAAAGUGUCAUCAAUGUCAGGUACACGGUGAUCUGAUACGUUCUUCUCCUGUUGAGUUGCAUGCAAUGACUGCUCCAUGACCGUUCGUGGCUUGGGGAAUGGAUAUGAUUAGACCGAUUGAGCCGAAGGCAUCAAAUGGACAUAGGUUCAUUUUGGUAGCCAUUGACUACUUUACAAAGUGGGUAGAAGCAGUAACUUUCAAGUCAGUGACAAAGAAGGCUGUGGUAGAUUUUGUUCAUGCCAAUAUCAUUAGUAGAUUUUGAAUUCCUAAGAUGAUCAUUACAGACAAUGCUGCCAAUCUCAAUAGUCAUUUGAUGCAAGAAGUAUGUCAACAUUUUAAGAUCACGCAUCGAAAUUCUACUCCAUAUCGCUCAAAGGCCAAUGGUGCUGUAGAAGCUGCUAAUAAGAAUAUAAAAAAGAUACUGCGAAAAAUGGUACAAGGGUCUAGACAGUGGCAUGAAAAGUUGCCAUUUGCAUUACUAGGUUAUCGCACCACUGUUCGGACUUCAAUAGGGGCAACUCCAUAUUUAUUGGUAUAUGGGACAGAAGCGGUCAUCCCUGCAGAAGUUAAAAUUCCCUCUCUUCGAGUCAUCGCAGAACCAAAGAUUAAUGAUGAUGAAUGGGUAAAAACUCGACUGAAACAUUUGAGUUUGAUUGAGGAAAAAAGGCUAGCGUCUGUGUGUCAUGGCCAGUUGUAUCAGAGGAGGAUAGCUCGAGCGUAUAACAAAAGGGUCCGUCCUAGGAAUUUUGAAGUUGGUCAGUUGGUAUUGAUACGUAUCCUUCCUCACCAGGUUGAAGCAAAAGGCAAGUUCUCCCCUAACUGGUAAGGUCCCUUUGUUUUUAAGAAAGUGUUGCCCAAUGGAGCCUUAUAUUUGACAGAUAUUGAAGGCAAAAUGGCAGAAAUAGCUAUCAAUGCUGAUGCGGUCAAAAGAUACUAUGUAUGAUAUUUGAUCCUUUGUUGAGUUUAUUUCAUGUUUAGUACUUGCAUUCUUGAAGAUUGAGAUGAUGAAGACAUUUUAUUCUUCUAUCCAAAUAUNNNNNNNNNNNNNNNNNNNNNNNNNNNNNNNNNNNNNNNNNNNNNNNNNNNNNNNNNNNNNNNNNNNNNNNNNNNNNNNNNNNNNNNNNNNNNNNNNNNNNNNNNNNNNNNNNNNNNNNNNNNNNNNNNNNNNNNNNNNNNNNNNNNNNNNNNNNNNNNNNNNNNNNNNNNNNNNNNNNNNNNNNNNNNNNNNNNNNNNNNNNNNNNNNNNNNNNNNNNNNNNNNNNNNNNNNNNNNNNNNNNNNNNNNNNNNNNNNNNNNNNNNNNNNNNNNNNNNNNNNNNNNNNNNNNNNNNNNNNNNNNNNNNNNNNNNNNNNNNNNNNNNNNNNNNNNNNNNNNNNNNNNNNNNNNNNNNNNNNNNNNNNNNNNNNNNNNNNNNNNNNNNNNNNNNGUCUCCCUCAGCAUAAGAAAUCAGGAAAGAAAUAAAAAAAAUGAGAGUCUUAUUGGUGAAAACCCCGUGGGCAUCAUAAGGCGAUAGUGAGUUGAGAGAAAUGAAAAUGAGAGAGUCUUAUUGGUGAAAAUCCCGUGGGCAUCAUAAGGCGAUGGUGAGUGGAGAGAAAUAAAAAUGAGAGAGUCUUAUUGGUGAAAACCCUCACGGGCACCGUAAGGCGAUGGAGAGUUUAAGAGAAAAGUAAAAAGGGAGAAGAAAGAGAUUUGUUGGCGAAAGUCUUUUAAGAUGUCGUCAAUCGAAUGUGAUGUAUGAGUCCAAUGGAUUUGAAGAAGAGGCUCAGCAGCAAAGGCAUGAGCUCAACAACAAAUUGGGAGUUUGGAUAGGAAGAUCAGGCAGCUCAAUCCAAAAUGCAUGUCAUACUCAUUAGAGUUGGUUGUCGUAUUCAGAUAAGUUUUCUUUUUGAAUAUGGGACAUUUUCCUUUUCUUUCAUUUACAUAUUCAUGCUUUUGUCCUUUUUAUGUCAUUUAUCAAAAUAAAAGUCAUCAUAAUUUCUUUACAUUUUAAGUCAAGUCUGUGUCAAAACAAGUGAGAAAGGAUUUCAAAAUUUACUACCAGUCUUUCCAAUUAUGUGAGGAAAAGCCAAGGAACAGCACAGGCAGAAAUAUGAUCGUAAUUCAACACGAAGAAAAAGAAGUCUAUCAACCGACAGGCUAUUGGAUUCGUAGAAGCAUUCAGAUUUGGGAAAAGAGUGCACCUCAGGGGCAUGGUAAAAUGGAAACCCAUUAUUUGAGUCAGAACUCAUUUCCCUCAAUCUGGAUUCGGGUCGAUGAUGCGGUAAGACAGGGCUGUUAGCGAUUUGGAACAAAGAUGAAAGGAACAAGUGCUGGGAAGAUACCUGAGAAGCCAAGAUCUGCAAGCCACCACUAAGUUUUUAACUGACAAAUUUUCUUUGUUGAUAUAGGGGCAAAUUUGCUUCACUUAAUUCAGCUAUCAUUGGAAAUGCACAUCCAUGGGAAUUUACUUUCAGUUCAGGACCCUCCUGAAAAAUGGGAUUUUAGUUUCUGUUUAGGACGCUCCUGAAAAAUGAGAUUUUUACUUUUGUUCAGGACCUUCCUGAAAAAUGGGAUUUUACUUUAUGUUCAGGACCCUCCUGGAAAAUGGGACAACGCUUUCAAAAAUGAAAUACUACUUUAUUAUAAUUCUUGUUUGGGAUAAUUUUCAUUCUAGUUUUAAUUUUGGGUUUCAGGAGCCCGCCUGAAGAACAGGGUGAUGAAAUAUCAAGACAGAAGCCCGCCUGAAGAACAGGGUGAUGAAAUAGCAAGUCUAGAGCCCGCCUGAAGAACCGGGUGAUGGAAUAGCAAGUCAGGAACCCGCCUGGAGAAUAGGGUAAUGAAAUAAAAAGUCAUGCAACAAAGCAAAGUAAUUGAAAGCCAAGCAACAAGUUGAAAGAAAUGGCAAGUCAGGGGCCCGCCUAAAGAAUAGGGUGAUGAAAGUCGAGUCAAGAACCAACAGAAGCUGUAUAGAUAGGAGUUUUGUAAUUUCAUUUAUGUUUUAACUUGUAAUUUUUAUUUUUGAUGUAAUAACAGAGCCGCGGACUGGAACCUCGACGGAACCUCACUCCACUCUCCAACUCGGUAUAGUCCACCUCUUCCAAUCCUUUGAAAUAGCCGUGACUUGAUUUUCUCAUAAUUUGGCUAGGAAAGAUGUCUUAAGUCAAGAUCCGAUUGUCCUUCUUCCUUCUGUUUCUUUCUUUGAAUAAUGGUCGGGUCAAAAUUUGGUUUCGCUGUCUACUUAUUUACCUGAAAACACUUCGUGUUUACAUCCAAAGGGGGCAUGAUUUAGACACCUAAUUUCGUCCCUCCCCGAUGUCGUUUUUACCCAUUUUAUUUUUAUCCUAUCGUGUACCCUCACCCAUGUUAUUAUACCCUCACAAAAUACGAAAAAAUAUAACAAAAUCCCUAACAAAACCUAUCCUAACUAAUUCUAUCUUAUCCUAACAACCUACCCAAUCAAAAUAAACCACCUCCCUACCCCCUACCCCAAUGACCCUACCUACCUUACCCCUUUUCACACAUUUUUGAACCCAGGGAAGGAUGAUAUAUUGAUAUACGAAAACCAUUUUGAAAAGGAAAGAGCUUCAUCUUCUUCACAGUGAAGAUAUACAGCAGAUCUCAAUUUUUUUCGGCUCCAAAAAAUCGAACCUCUCAUCACCAUUAACAUACACGUACACACAUCACCCAUAUUUUCCCAUGGAUUAACACCAUACGCACACACAUAAACAAAAUCAUGCACAUACUCGAAAAUCGACAACCCGCACAGUAAAGAGAAGCAAGUUAUGGAGGGUGUUUGACGGAAUUUCGAUGAGAAACCCAGUUUCUGUUCAAGUUUUCCUGGCGACCUCGGUGCCAGAGUCAGCUUCAAUUGAUUGUUGUCCGAAUCAGUCUCCUAAACCCCAAAGUUUUUUUUCCUUCUAUUCCUGAACUAUAUCUCGUUGGAAUCCGACUAUUUUAGUUUUUUUGGUCACCGUCUGCUCAUCGGAGCUCAAUUUCUGUAGCUUUUUUGGGUUCGAUUGGAUUUACGGAGCUUUCAGGUUUCAUGUCUUUGCGAUUCAUUUUCGAAAUCAGGUUUCGGAUCCCUCGGUUUUCAUUCCUAUUUUUGGGUUUAGUUUUCCGUCCAUCUCGACCAGUUUUUGGGUUUCAAAGUCCUUGAUAUCGAAGUUGGGAUUCGUCACUAUUGAGGUUCUGUUCCGAGUUCUGAAGUCCGGGCCUUCUUAAAUGUUAUUAUCCACGAAAUCGACUAUCAAAAGGUCCGAUCCUACUCUUUUCCUCUUUAAUUUUAUUGUUUACUAUGUUUUGAUAUUUGGAUUACGCUUUGGGUGUUGUUUGAUACUUGUUGGUGAUGAAUGCAUGUUGUUUUGAUUGGUGAUAGGUUGCUAUUUUGAUAUUGACUUGUUGUUUAAUGUUGUUGAAAAGUGAUUGUGGGUCGUUGAAAUAGAAAUGGUGAAUUUGGAUUGAUUAAAAACUUUUGGUUUAAUUUGGUUUAAAUAUAAAUAUGGUUAAAAUGGACUUGGGGGCGAGAAUUAAAAUUUGAUAUAAUUGGUGAUUUAGAUUAGUUGAUUUCAUAGUGUGUUUAACGUGAAACGAGUGCUGACUGAACUUGGUAGUAUCGUGAUACGCAGUUUGGUUUAGGCAAAGGUAGGUUGGGUAGGCAAGAUGUAAGACUUGGGAUUGUUGAAUGGUGAAAUGUUCGUGGAAUUGUUUUGAUUUAUACAUUGACAUCUAUUGUAUUAAUUUGGCCGGGGAAUGCCCCGAAGUAUCUGUAUAUAUUUAUUCACCGGGGAAUGCCCCGAAGUACCUUGUACUUGGAAGAUGUUCGUGGUAAAGGCCCGAGGCAUCAGGUAAAGCGGUAGAGCGUAGUCUAGAGUAGACUAGAUUUAUAUUUCCGCAUUAUUUAUUUUUGGACUGUAUAAUUGGACUAGACUUUACAUUUCGGAUUGUUUUGUUUUGUUUGAUUGUUUUGCGUGCUUUUGUGUGGUUUAUACAUUUCGUAAUGCCAAAAUAGUUGAUACACUCUACCAAGCGACCGUGGUUGAAUCACGGGAUCGAGGGGUGCCUAACACCUUCCCCUCGAUCAACAGAAUUCCUUAGCUGGAGUCUCUGUUUGCAAACCAGUUUAAGAGUCAAAUGGUUUCGAAAAGGAUUUUCCAAAGGUGACUUGGCACACCGGAUUAUGCCAAGUGGCGACUCUGAAUAAAAAAUGCAAAUAAUUCUUUUCCAAAAUAAAUUUUCAUUUCUUGUCACUUAAAUAAUAAAGCUCUUUCGAACUUUAAAAUAUACAUUUUUUUUGGAGUACACGUAAAAAAAAAGGUGAGACAGAAUUAUCGUAUGUUAUGUAUUUUGCAGCUCCUGAAUUCAAGAUUCAGGAACUAGAAUCAAUACAUGAAAGCAUAAAAGAGGAUUAAAGUGAAGCUAGAUUAUACCAGCACAAUUGGCAAUAGCAUUAGCAUUAGAGAAAUGUUCUCCCUGUUGGCCAGACUUCACCAUUUGUAAAAGUUGAGAAAAUUGUUUUUGUGUGAUAUUUUUCCUUGAAGAAUGUGUCAUACAUUGGUCUUUUCCUGUUUCCUCUGAAGCCAUUGCUUGGUUACUGGGCGACCCUCUUUGAAACCUCUUAGUCUUGGUAAACUUAAAAUUAGGAGGGAAUCUUUUUAACCUGUAGCAAUGGUCGAUUUUGUAACCAAGUUUCUUCCAGUAGUUGCAAAACAUAUUGUUCUUUUCCUCAGAAUAUCCUUUAAACUUGUUGUCUGGCCUAUUAUUUUUCUGAUUUCCUCCUUGCUGAUUUGCUGACAGGAAAGCUAAUUCAAUGAGAUAUUUAUUUACUCAUAUGUAUCUCACGUUGUUUUUCAUUUUGGAUGAAAAGUGAGUAAGCCUGAUUAAAACUAGGGAGUGGCGAGAUCAUUAGAAUAAUGCUUCGAACAGAGGAAUAGUUGUCAUUAAGACCCAUCAAGAACUGGAUUAAACGAUCAUCCAGAAGUGAUUUGAGGAUUUUGAAUUUCCCCCCACAGGUCCAAUCACAACUGUAGUGCACACAAGUAUUGAGAGCAUCAAGCUCAUCUCAGAUCCUUUUUACCUUAGUGUAGUAUCCGGGAAUGUCAGAAUUUCCUUGAACCAGCCCGUUCAAUUCCUUUUGAAGCUGAUAGAGUUGAGCACCGUUUGAUUUUCCAUAUCUGUCUUCUAACUCAUUCCAAAUUUUAUGUGUUGUUUUGGAGUACAACACACUUUCUGCGAUAUCUUUUGACAAAGAGUUUAAGAUCCAUGAGAUUACCAUGUCGUUACAGCGGCUCCAUGGUUGAAAAAGAGGAGAAGAGGACUCUGGUUGAGCUAAACUCCUAUCAAUGAACCCUAGCUUAUUUUUAGAAAAUAGUGCGAUAUGUAUAGCUCUUCGCCAUCCUCCGUAACCCUUUUCAUCAAAAACUGCAUUCACCAGUAUCAUUCUCGGUGAGUCAGAGGGGUGAAGGUAGUACGAGUGGAUGGAAUCAGUCAAGGUAGAGUUGGUUGCAUCCUUGGUGCUACCAGUAGCUACUGUUGUUGUUUCAUUGGGUGUUGGAUUCACCAUUGUCAAAAAGAUGAGAGAAAAGGGAGAAACAAAUAACAAGGAUUGAAAAUGAUAUGAAAAGAAGGAUCAACCCUAAGGCUAUGAUACCACGUAAGAAUUGAAAAAAUAUUGAUUGUAUUGAAUGCAUUUCUCUGUAAUACCAGGACGCAUAUACACAAAACUUCUAACCGGCUGAAUAUAUACCUACCAUAUUUACCCUAUAGAAAAAUAUGGACUUAAUAUAUACCUACCAUAUUUAUCCUAUUCCCAACAAUAAGUAUGGAAAGAAAUAAAGUUGCUGACAUGGAUACAAAUUAGGGAAAUAAAAUGGUAGCUUUCAUAAAUUACUCAUGUAAAAAAUUAUUUCACUUGAUUACUUUUGUCGAUAAAACUCUUCUUCCUCUUUCUACCGUAAAAACUUGGCUUGUUGUCUAAAGUGGAGAUUGUGGUUCCAACAACUUUCACUAACACUAGUAUAUAUCAUGUAUUUAUUAAUUGGAAUUGUGAUGGAUUAGUAACUGAUAAGUUGUGGAUUAGAGAUUUUGAAUUUGAAUCAUAUUGGAUACAGAGUCGUAAAUUUUAACCUUAGUGUAGGACUUUUUUUUGUUGUAAAUCCAAAUUUAAUCGAGGUUGGAUAUGAAUAUCAAAUAACGUUUGAAAAAUAAAAAAUAAAAAAAAGUUAUUCUAUGUACUUCAAUCCACUUUGACUUGAACAAAUGAGCAAAAAUUAUGUACUAGUAUUUUUGUUUACGUUGACAUUUAUCGAAAAUAGCUACUAAUCGAGUUUUCCCAUAAUUAGGGAUGUGAAUUAUGUCGUUAGCUCAUUAACUUGGCCUCCGCCUAAAUCCCAUCUAUAAUGAUUAACAUACAUACAAAUACACCAACAUGGGUGUUGGAAUAGAGAAGAUUUUUUUACCAUGACACAACGAAUAGGGUUUGUAAAGAAGAACGGAUACAUCUUCAAGAGGAUAUUUAGGUUAUGAACAAACGAAAUUCAUCUAUUUCAUAAGAAUUUCUAACGAUUAAUUAGUAACAUGGGAUCGUGGGUUUUCCUAAGUACUCCCUCCUUUCUAUUUUAUUCGUUAUAAAUUUUUUAACUUGAUUUUUCAUUUUACUUGUCACUUUUCAUUAAUCAACACAAGACAUUUUUCUUCCUUUUUUACCCUUUGUAUUAAUUAUUUUUUCUUUAAAUUAAAAUGUAAACAUCAUUUAAUAGGGAUACUAUGAUAAAGUAGCCAUGUUAUUAAUUAUUAUUCUUAAUCAAUGUGCAAUGUCAAAUUAUGACAAGUAAAAUGAAAUGACGCAAGUAAUAUUUACAAUUAAAUACAACAAUAUUUGAAUUAUACUCCACAUGAUUAUCAAUCUACUUUAUUAAUUAUUAGAUCACAUCGUUGAGUGAAUAAUGACCAAUAACAAUAAUAAUAGUAAUAAUAUUAACCGUUUUUAUUACUACAACUACAUGAAAAAGAUCAAGUUGAAGGAGAAAAAUCUAGAAUUAUUUUUUUCCCUUUUUAGCAGAAUUAUUGUGUAUGUACUCUACUUUGGUACAUGUGUAGUAAACUAGUAUCAUUAUUCCGAUUAAUUGUGUGGGGUAUAUGUUAUUUUUUAUUAAUACAAAUAUUUAAUAAUUUCAUCGUAACUUAAACAGAUCAGCCAAAUUAUAUAGCAACAUUCUUGCCUCUGGUGGCAUUUAAACUUGAGAUUUUCAUAAUUCCCAAUUCAUUUUAUCAAUCAUCAGCUAGGUCACACCUUUGAUUUCAUUACUGAAUACCAUUUUCAUUGGCAUUAUUACUGGGUCUUAGGGAAUACUAUUUUCAUUGGUAUUGUUAAUAACACUUAGAGAACGACCAAUUUGAAGGAGAAAAAAGAUGUAAAAAUUACAUAUAUAUAACGACAUGUUUACUGAAAAUUACUAAAAGUCCCAACUUUUUUAAAAAUCUCGCAAAAUCCCAGCAUGUGGUCAUUGAUGAUACAUGUUAAUUAAUUUAGAUACAUAUAAGGGAUACAUGUUUGAAGUAAACUAACUGACACUUUUUAAGGGAUGUAACGGAUAAAUUAGCAUUAAAAGUGCAAUUAAUCUAACUAAUUAUGGUUAAAAUAAAAUUAAAUCUCAUGAUUUAUGGCAAUUAUCUUUGUUAUUCCAUCAUUCUAAUCAAAAACAACAUUCAUAAUCUGUUUGAAAAUACCUAAAAAAAUUUACGGCUUCUUCAAAAGUUUCAGACACCCAUUUUUUUCUGAUUUAUUAAUUUUGUUUGGUUAUUUGAAAUGAAUAUUUCAGUUUUGUUACAUCAUUUUGGUGUUUGGGCUAACAAAAUCAAUUAUGUGAGCUAAGAGUGAUGAAAUUGUGAUCAGUGAACAUGUUACUUAUGAAAAACUAAUUUCGACAAUUACCGGAGAAUUGGAAAUCGAUGAAAUCAGGAAAAAAAUUGAGGCUCGUUAUAUUGUUGAAGAAAAUGCGUGUCCGUUGUUGAUUCGUAACGAAAUGAGUGUGAAGCUCUAUAUCGAGAUUAAGAAAACUGAGCAUGAUUUUGGGACGUAUCCACUCAUCAUCACUACAUUAGAUAAGUUUGCUAGUGAAAUGUUAUUUGAUGGGAAUGUUGGUGCCGUAAUGUGUUUGGAGAGUCCAUCAGAAAGAGUUCAAAAUUAAUUAGUUACAAAUCUAAUUCUACUUCUCCUUUGCCUUUGUUAGAUAGGAAGGGGAACAAGAUCAUUACUGAUUGCAAACAUAGUGAUGUUAAGGUUGAGCAAAUUUACAAGGACAAGGGUACUCUGAUUUCUGUUAUGACAAGGUUUGCAAUUGAGCAUUCCUUCAAUUUCUAUGCUAAGAGAUCGGACAGGAAAAUGUAUAUUAUGAUUUUCUAUGUAUCAGUUGUUGUUAUUAACCUGUACAGUAAUGUUAUGAUGUUAUGUUAAUUAAGCCGAGAUACAUUUUUAUGCUAAAAGAUACUUUUUGCUCAUCUUGUAUCUAAGUUUAUAAAUUGAUGUUUAAUUAUGUAUCUCAUUGUAUUUUAGUGUAAUGUAUAUCUAUAUACGAAGAAAUCAUAUAAGUAUUACAUUAGAUACAUGUUGUGCAAGUUUGUGAGGUAUAUGUAUCUAGUACUCUGUUGUUUGACAGUAACUCAAGGUAAAAAAAUUGAAGUUUUGUCUUAAUUGAUUCAGCUAUGUCCUAGAAGAAGGACUGGAUUGUGCCACAAGAAGCUAUAGAUGAAGUUGUGUUACCACCUAAAUACAAGUGUUCACCUGCAAGGCCAACGAAAAACAAGCACAAGAAAUCAAAUAAAACUAUGACAUCAAGCAAUAAUUGUUGCGGGAGAUGUGGUUAUGAAGGUCACAACAGGUGCACUUGCAACUUCUUUCCAAAGGAGGAGUGAUAAUGUGGUUGACUGAUGAAUAAUGUCGAGUAGUUUCUCAGGAUGUUGUUGGGUUUUAUAAUACAAAUUCUUGUUUUUUAUAAAAUUUUAAGAAAGACAUUUAUCAAAAUAAAUAGCAUUUUUGUUCCUUUGAUAAUUAGUUAUUUAUUUUUGCAUGAUGUAUUUUGUCGUGACACAUCAAUUAAACAUUAAGAUAUAUUGAAAUGACAGUGUUAUUAAAUAAUCUAUUCGUAGUUCUGCCAUAGUAAAUGGUAGAAAAUAGAUAUAUUUUUAUAGGAUGUAUCUCCCUUAAAUUUAUAGAUAUAAAUUUACAAAAUAUGUAUCGAUUAUAAAAUAUAAUUUGUCAAUAUUAUUAAGAUAUAGUAAUAUAAGUUCUGCUUUAAUUUGUUAUUCAGGUUAGUAUCAUACAUGUAAUCCUACUAACAAAAAGGUAUUAUAGAUACAUAAAAAUGUAUUAAUUUAUUAGUUACUAUGAUUAUAUAGUAAAACAUAUUUCCUUAUAAUAGAUACAUAUAAUACGGUAAGAUGUAUCUCGUAUUAAUUAAUAGAUAUAAGUUUAAAUAAUUUGUAUCACCUGUAAAAUAUAAUGGGUUAAUAGUUUUAAGAGUUUAGUUCUAUUAAGUUCUGUUAUAAUUUGUUAUGCACGUUAGAGACAACAUGGAUUAAUACCCAUAUAUUGUAAUAUAUCUUUCUUUAAUUUAGAUACAUAAAAUUGUAAAAUACUGGAAAAUAUGUAUCAAACAUAAUGUCUGUAAAUAGUGUAACCAAAAACAUAUAACGAAAACACAAAUAUAUCUUUACAUGCUUUAGCAUUUCGUUAGAAUGUUAAUGCAAAUAGAAGUAAUUAAUCAUUAAAGAAACUUAAUAUAUGUUUAUCUAAACACUACUAACAUCAUCAAAAUAUCAACAAAGUUUAUAUCAUCAACAACAUUUUUAAUAGGCAACUAGUCAACAAAUAAACAACUACUGAAUACUCAAAACAUGGUCUGUUUCUUUUGGUGUAAACUUGAUCCUUGGCCUUGGUAGAUCGUCAUUCUCACUAAAGUAUUCAUUCUCCGCUUUUUUAGAUCCGUACUUGCACAAAAGACUAGCAUAUCUCAGACGAUGGUAGUGAGCAUCAAUUUUCGAAGAUGGAAUGUCUAAUCCCUCACUCAGAUACUCGGCAUAUAGUACACUUAGAAAAAGCAAUCUGCGGUAGUGUAUCUCUUGAUUAAAAAAUUAUUGUUCUUGUACUUCUUCCUCAAGUAGUACAUGAUGACAUCUAGAUGCUGUUCAAAUUGCAAUCAAAUGUAAUAUAUCAUACAUCAGCCAACUGUGAUGAUUAAAACUGAAAGGAAUACAAAUUAAAUGUUUAUGUAUCUAAUGUGAUUAAUGCAAGUGAUAGAAAAUUGCUUCAGAUAAUGAAUAAGAUACAUAUUAAUAUAGAUAGAUAUAUGUUUUGUUAUUAUGUAUCUAAUACAAAAUAAAUUAAGGGAGCACUAAAUCAUGCACAACCAUUCUGCUCCAAGACUAAACUAGCACUGAUCAACAUUAAUAUCAAUUAUCUUACAAGAUGAAUCAUCCUAUAAUUCUUCAAGGAAAAAAUUGUACAUAUCCCUUUACAAGCUAUAAAUUACUGAACCUCUAUCUCCUUCAACAUCUACUAACAACAUCAUGGUGUUAGUUUAUGAUUUAUAGGUGAUUGGUUGAAGGAUAUAAAGCUCUAUUAAUUUAUAGUUUUACUAAAAUAAAGAAAUCACAUCUUGAGGUGACCUUCUCGGACAAUAUGGCGCCAUCGCUCAAUUUUCAAUUUGAUUACUUAAGAGCAGCCUGAGUUUUUCUGGAGGCUUUGCAAUCUUUGAGCCUAAGCAUGAGAUCUCUUUAAAAUAUUUGUCUUUUCUUUAUGUAUAGCUUAACAUGAUCUCAUCACUCCCUGUGAUUUUGAAAUUUGAAUUAUUAUAGAAUAACAUGUCUAAAAUAAUCAAAUUUUAAAAUAACAAAGCGAUGAGUGAUGACACAUCAAGCUAUCCACAAAGUCACAAAAAAAAAUUAGGCUGCUCUAAAAUUACAGUAUCACGUCAAGCUACACACGAAGAUAAUACAUCUAAAAAGCUCAGGUUGCUCUAAAAUAGCAAAUUUCAUAAUCAAUGGGACUACAGUAUCACGUCAAGCUCCAAUGGCACAACGGCAUUCAAAACGAUCACGUCAAGAUAUAAACAAAGACAAGACAUGCUUUAGGAAAACCUCAGGCUCAUCUAAAACAACACAUUCAUAAUCAAUGAGACUACAAUUGAGUCAAGCUCCAAUGACACCAUAAUAUUUCAAACAAUCACAUUAAGCUAUACACAAACACAAUACAUGAAACCUCAUGCUGCUCUAAAUUAACCAAAUUUUAAAAUAACGUAGAGAGAUAUCAAUCAACCUAAUCUAUCCAAGAAAUAAUAUAGGUAACCAAAAAAAACAAACUCAGACCACUCUACAGUAUACCAGCAGAUCAUGGAACAUAAAAAAUAUAUAAAUGAUAAAAUUAAUUGAGAUGCAACAAAUCUACAUUAAGACAUUACAAUUUAUACAAAAACUCUAAGAACGUUAUACAUUAGAUACAAGAUAACACAAAUAUAUCUUUAAGCUUAAAAAUAUCUAUCUUAGAAAAAAAUGUGUAUCUUGUGUAAUACGACUUUCAAUAACAUUUAAACAACACUACAUAUAUUUCAAAGCAUUAACACUAAGUCACAGAUACAAAUUAACACAAAAUGUAUCUUAGAAAGAAAAUCAUGUAUCUUAGAAGAAAAAAUAUGUAUCUCUUUUCAUAAUACUUUCAUAAAAAUUUAAACAACACUAGCUACAAAUCAAAGCAUUAACAAUAACUCACAGAUACAAGUCAACGUAACAUAUAUCUAUGUACUUAUGAACUUGUAUCUUUUGUUAUAUUAAAUUCAAUAAAACAUAAAAAACACAAGAUACAUAUAAAUUGGCAACAAAAAAACCAUAUAAGCAAUGAAUUUCUAAAUGUAUCAUACAAGUCAAAAUAUGUAUCUCGACCUAAUAUUCAACAGAUCUAAAUAUGCAAUUACCUUGGGAAGCUCAUAUCUGAAAAUUGCUUCGAUAAUUCUUCUUCUCUUGGCGGGAGCUUUACUUGCCGGACUGUUAGAUCCCCUUUUCUUAGAACCACUUUCAUUUUUUUUCCUUCGUAUCAUGUUUUUGCGGAAAUUUCUUCAUAGUUUGGGAAUCGUUUUUGUGCUUUAAUUUAUUUUCAUCAAAGCCAACAAAUUCGUAAUCAAAACUUUCGGGAAUAAAGUUUACAACUUCUUGAGAUUCUUUGAUACUUUCUAAUUGAGAAAACUCAAGACUAAAAGAAGGUGUCAAAUCAUUAUUCAUAAUGGUAAUUCAAACAAUGAAGCCUAAAAAAUGAACAAUCGAAUGAAUUGCUUAACCAAAAUACUGAAAUUUCACCAUGAAAAAGAAUGGGCAAAAUAUUUUUUUGAAAAAAAAAAAAAGUAAAAAGGAUUAGAAGAAAUAGAACCUAAUUUUAGGAAGGGAAAUUAACUUACUUCAAAGUUUUGAAUUAGAUGGAGAAAAUUGAUAGAAACCGCACCAGAAAUUGCGGCGUAUAGAGAGGAGAAGAAGUGAGUUAAUUUUGGUAAAGGAUCGGCUCCUAAUUGUAGGUUUUAACUUGUAUCUCAACUUUACUAAAAAAUAUGAAUGUUGGGAUUUAGGUAAUUUUUUAGAAGUGGGGGAUUUUAAAAGUUUAGAAACUUAUGUUGUUUAUUUAGGUAAUUUUUCCAAAAAAGAUACUAUUUAAUUGCACGCGUCGUAUUUGAUCUUUUGUUUUUAUUUUUUUAAAUAAGUUUGUUUUUAAUUUUUAUUUUUAUGAACUAAAUUUAUGUCUAAUAUGAACAUUAGUAAUACAAAAAUAUGUGUAUACCACUUUAAGCAUUUAGUUACUGGAGAAAAUUGAAGAAUAGGUGUUUUUUAAGUCUUGAAUGAAGGAUUAGUGACAUUGACCAACAGAUAGGGUCAAACAUUAUUAGGAAACUUGAUCAAGUUAAUUAUGGACUUGAUUAAUAUUUUCAAAACUUUCUAAUCUUUUAAAAAUACAAAUCAACCCAACCCACACCCUCUUCAAUCCAAAUCAACUACUCUCUCCUCUCUCUCGAUAGCUUCUCUCAACUCUCUCCCAACCAAUAGUUCUGUAAAAUUUCUCUCUUCAACCCCCAAUGACAAAUAGUUGGGCUUCGAGUUUCUCUCUUCAAUUCAAUCAACCUGUCUCUUAUUCCUCUCUCGAUAGCUUCUCUUAACUCUCUUCUAACCAACUGUUUUGCAAAUUUUUUAUUUCAAUCCUCGACAACUUCAAUAUACGACAACAAAUAGUUAGGAUUCCAGUUCCUUUUCUACUUCAAUCAAUGUGACAGCCUUGCUCUCCAGCCACAACAACUUCGAAUUCUUCAUCGGUUCUUUUUUUCUUUCACAGGUAAAAAUUUAUGGCCUUUUUUAGUUUUAAAGAAAACGAGGAACUUGUGUCAACUUAUCUUAUAGUAUUGGUUAACAAUUUCAAUAUUUAUUGCACUAAUUUAAAACGCGGUCUGAAUAAAACCCUAAUUUCUGGUAUUUCUUCUCUUCUCUUCUCUUUUCAAAGUGAAUUAUGAUAUUUUAUUAUUUAUUGCAUUUUUUUAAAGUUUGAUUUUUAUUAUUUGUGUUUAUAAAAACAAAAGGACAAUUUGGUUUGAUUUGUUCUGUUCUUGUUCUUGGUAAAAAUGGUGAAAUUAUUAUUUUUUAUUUAACAAAAUCAUGCUACAGUUUCCUCCGACAGAUUACCCAUCUGGUGCAACAUAUUAACCAUAUGAUAUAACAGAUUCAUCAUAUGAUGCAAUAGAUCAACCAUCUGAUGUUCCAGGGGAACCAUCAGAUUAUCAUUCUGAUGCAACAGAUUAAUAAUCUAAUGUAACAACUUUACCAUAUGUUGCAACAGAUUAAGCUUCGAAUAAAAAAUCUGAUGCAACUAAUUAACCAUUUGGUGCAAUGGUAGAACCAUUAGAUUAAUAAUCUAAUACAACAGAUGAACCUCCUAUUGGAUAAAAUCCUAUCAACUCUUCGUACAGGAAAAGUCCAAGACUUGAUUUUUCCAACUGAUCAUUCAUCUACCAGGAUAGACGAUCCUAUGUAGGAAAAAAUCUAAAUAAUAUUAACCGUUGAUAACUGUUCCAACAGAUCACUCAUGUGUUGCAACAGAUGUGUGACCUGUUGCAGAGACCAUUCAUCUUUCUCAACAGAUGAGUGAUAUGUUUUGUAUUGUCGUAAUAGAUUACUCAGCCGUUGCUACGGAUUAUUUAACUAUUCCAACAGAUCACUUAUAUGUUGCAACAGAUGAUGUCACAAUAGUUGUGUGAUCUAUUGAGCAGACCAUUCAUCUAUCUUAAAAGAUGAGUGGUAUAUUUUGUAUUGUUGCAACAAAUUACUCAUCCACUGCAAUAGUUUAGUUAUAUGCUGCAACGGAUAUACUACCUGGUCCAACAGAUCGAUGAUCUGUUGUUACUGUUAUUUUACUAUUUUGCUUGUUUGAUUUACUGUUAUCCCUUUUUAAUGAUGCAUUAAUCAACAAUAAUCUAUUAUUUUAUGUUUCUACUAAUUUUAGAUGAUAUGGUUCCCAAAAGAACAGAAACUAAAUCAAGUCCAAGUAAAGGAACAAGUGAAGCAGCUAGGCUACAUCCACCACUCUAUGAGCUUGCUUUACAAGUAUUAUCUCAAUCGAGAGCAGAAUAUGAUGAACACGGGAAGGAGGAAUAUGUCAAAAAAGAUGAUACAGAUGCUAAUAGACCUUCCACCGAAGAGCUGGUCAAAGCCUUUAGCAUUGAUCGUUAUCCUAUGAGAAUGCGGUGCAAUGGUGCCGCAGAUUUAAUGGGUGAUUUCGCGGUUAAGUUAGCCAUGGGAAAAUCUUUCAACACCUUCAGAAAAAUACUUCGAGAAUAAAAAUUGGAUGCUUAUUUCAGAGACAACUACUUUGAGAAAUAUCUUGAUUUAUCGAAGGACAACAAUGCUCGUUUCCAAAUGAAAAUGCUAUAUGAACUUCUCAAGCGUAGGUUUAUGUAUGAAAACAAAAAUAAGAUGGAUGAGGUGUGGAUAAAUUACUGUGGCAUGCCUGUUUAUUUUGGUUGGAAGGAGUUUGUCAUAGUUUUUGGGCUAAAAUGUUAUCCUCCUUCUCAAGUUAUACCUAUUUUAACCCAAAAAAAACACCCCGCACACCCAAAAAAGGCAAAUAUAAGUUGUGUGAUUGUGAUGACCUGGUGUCCAUUGUUGGUCCAAGCUUCAAAUACAAAAAUUUGAUAGAAGCGUUGAAAGAUAAAGAACUUUCAAAGAAGCACAAGUAGUCAUUGUGCUUGGUUUGGUUUGUACAUAAUAUUCUUUGGGCGAGAGACAUUAACAACAACAUAAAACUCGAUUUAAUAAAGCUCUCCGAGGAUCUUGAGGUUUUUAACAUCUAUCCAUGGGGGUAUGAAAGCUUUAAAAUAACUGUCAAAUAUUUGUUAACUCCGUUAGCGCCAAAGACAGUCAACUUAUAUGGCUUCCAAUAGGCUUUCAUGGUAAAUGUUUCUUUCUUCUAUUAUGAUAUCAUUCAUUUUUAUCGCUCAAUAAUGGUUUUGAUUUAUUGGCAUUAUUUUAUAGGAUUGGGCGUUUGAAGUCAUUCCUUAUUUGAGACAACAAGUGAACUUAAGAAGUUUCCUGUCCAAGAAUCUUGAGAUGGUUGUCGGCCAAAACUCAUAAAAAUACAAAAUUUAUUGAUCUUUUCAACCCCCCGAAGGAUGCAGUAAGUAUAAUUAUAAUUAAUUUUUUCUUUUAAUUAAUGUUUUUUUUUGAAUGAUCUAAUCAUCAUUCUAAUAUAUGUAAUGAUUUAUGUUAGAAUGUGAAUUCGUCGCUAGUUCUGACCAAUCGAGAGUUGAAAAAGCUAUUUUUUCUUACUUUACGGUCUGUGCAAACUUUAUUAGAUCCUAAAGUAAUCGACAGAAUAAAAAUGGAAUUAUUUAGAGUAACAACCAUUACAAGAAAAAUACUUUUAGAAGGUGGGCUUGUUGUUGUUGAUGGAGCUGUUGGUGGUGGUAGUGGUGCUGCUGUUGGUGCUAAUGAUGCUCCUCUUACAGUAUUUAAAGCAAAUCUAUUAUGAAUAUGAUCAUACUGGUUCUACAGAUUUUGCCUCUCCCAGUGAAUGUUCUGCAUACAAAUGUUAAGACUGCAGGGCGAAAUAUGAUGUAGUGAUUAAUGCUAUUAAUGCAUUAACUUUUUCUGUAAAGGAAUUGACAUCUAAGAGGGGUCUCAUUUCAUCAAAGAGGAUUUUAUUUCCAUCCGCUCCAUUAGAGAUUAGGGCUAAGAGGAGAAGGAGAUUGAUUUCCAGGGCAUUAUGAGGCAUCCAAAAAAAUGAAAUUGCAAUUCCUCUAUCUGCGUGUUGCACUGAGCAACGUACAAUGUCUAAAGGAGAUCAACACGAGCUAAAGAAGGUGAAUAUAUUAUAUGUCUUCCAACUGACAAAACAAACAGACACAUAUCUGUUUCAAUAGAUGACACAUCUGCUGAAAAUUAUCAAACAGAUAUAUACAUCUGUUGCAACAGUUGACUAACCUGUUGCACUAGAUACUUUAUCUGGUGCAACAUAUGUCUCGUCUAUUUUAGCAAAUCAAACAGCUCUUCGUGCAGCUUUUAUUUGUACCAACAGAUAACCUAUCUGCUGCAACAGAUGAUUUAUAUAUUGCAACGGAUCGUUCAUCCAUUGGUAAUUAUCACACAGGGUCUUCCUCAUGUAGAAAUUUCUCCCAACAGUUGAUUCAUUAUUGCAACAGAAAUAUAAUAUAUUUGGGACAAUUUAAAAUGGAAGGAAGACCUGUUUGAUUUACUAGAAGAGAUGAGUUAUCCUUUUUCGUUUUAUUGUAUCUCUGUGAUUAGCAUUGACCAAUUCUGGCUUUCCAGGUGGAUGUAGAAGAAGCUAUUGCUGAAUAGCAUUGACAAUAUGCUACUCUUUUUAUGGAAAUACGGAGAAUAGAAAGAGCAGAAACUGUACGCAAGCGACAAUGAAGAUCCACGACGAGCAAAGCCGAAUUCCAUAGCACCAGAUGAAGAACAACUUGUCCAUACUGAGUAGAUCUUUAUAGCUUGAUCCUGUCAAAGAAAUCAUUGGCAGUAUACUUAAAUUGUUGUUGAUGUAUUUGUUGAGAUCUGUACCCAUAACAAUUUUUUUACAUUUUAUUUAUUCGUUGACUUGUUUCAACUAAUUUAUAAAGGCUUCAAUUUAUUUUAUUUUAUCUACAAAUUUUAUUUAUUCCUUAGAUUUGAACUUAUUAAUUGAAAUGGAAUACUAGAUUCAAAUAUUGCAACAGAUAAUAUAUCUAUUGCAACAGAUGACACAUUUAUUGAAAAAUUUGAACAGAUUUAGACAUAUGUUGCAACAGGUAGGUGAUCUAUUGGAAUUUAUCAAAUAGGUCUUCCCAUUGUUGCAACAGAUUGACUUUAGAUAAAAACUUCAAGAUAAUGCAAUAGAUGACACAUCUAUUGAAAAAAAAAAAGAACAAAUUUAGACAUAUGUUGCAACAGAUGGACUUUAUCUGUUACAACAGACGACACAUCUAUUAGAAUAAUCGAACAGAUUUAUACAUAUGUUGCAACAGGUAGGUUAUCUAUUGGAAUUUAUCAAACAUGUCUUCCCACAGUUGCAACUAAUGGACUUUAGAUAAAAACAUCGAGAUAAUGCAACAGAUGACCAACCUAUUACAAUAGAUAAGCUAUAUGUCAGAACAGGUAGGAUAACUGUUACAACAGAUGGAGAAUCUGUUGCAUUAUAAAAAUUCAACUUUUGUUGGACAUAAAAAAUUUCCAUUACGUUUAAAAAGGUUAAAGUGAAUUGAAAUAAAAAAGGCGCAACCCAUUGAUGGUGUUCAGUUAAAACAUCUAAAAUAAAAUAGGCAUCAAGUAGACAUGUUCAUUUUAAAGACGUAAAAUAAAAUAGGCAUCAAAUAUGUUAGUGUCAGUCCUAGCACAUUUCGCUGACUUGCCGUCACUUGGCCCCCAACGGUCAUUUCCCCCCUUCCCAUUGUCUUAUAUAUUCAUCUUCCUCCUAAAAUUUAACCCUAAAUUUUCAAAUCUUCUUCUUCAUCGUCAUCUUCUUUUAUUUAUCCAAAUUCUUCAAAUUAUUACUUUCAUUUUUUCCAACUAACCUUGACAAUAUCGAGCGCAUCUUCCACUAUUUUUUGUGAUAAAGAUUUUGGAUAUUGUAAGUGCGGUCAUGAAGCUCUAUUAAAAACUUAUUGGACUCAACAAAAUCCGGGUCGUAGGUUUUUUACUUGUAAGAUUUUAAAGGUAAUAUUUUUUUAUUUAAUUAAUUGAUUAAUUAAUGACUUGUAAUUAUUUUGUAAUUGUGUUCUCUUUUUUAUAGAAAUUGGAUGGAUGCGAUUACUUUGAUUGGUAUGGAGAACGACACCCUUCACAAGCAAAUCAUGUAAUUUGGGUUUUGUUAAACAAAGUCAAGACUUCUGAAGAGAAACAAAAUCGAGUAAGAAGAUACUACAUUGUUGCCAUUAUUGCUACUGGUUUGGUGUUGUUGGACACAUGGAUAUUGAAACCUAAUUGCUGAAAUUUUCAUGAUGGUGUGUGUAUUUGCUACUGGUUUGUUGUCAACGAGAACAUGGUUAUUCAAGCGUAACUGUUGGAAAAUAUCAAAAAGAUUUAGGCAUAUGUUGUAAAAUUUAGGUCAUCUGUGAAAAUUAUCAAACAGGUCUUCACAUUGUUGCAACAGAUUAGACUUAGAUUGUUAGAUUAUUCAUAGAAAUUAUCAAACAUGUCUUCCCACUGUUGCAACAGAUUAGACUUAGAUUAUUAGAUUAUUCAAACAGGUCUUCCCACUGUUGCAACAGAUUGACAAUCUAAUCUAUUGCAUUAUAAAAAACUUAACUUUCAUCAGAAAAAAAAUUAUUACCACUACAUGUACAUGUAAUAAAGUGAAGGGUGACUUGAAAUUAAAAUUUUUAUUUCACAAGCUCUUCUAUAUACACAGGUUUCAAGUGUCCCGUUAGUACCCCACAAGCCCAGACCUCUUACAGGUUUGCCACAGUGUUGUCGCAUAGAAAAGUCAUUGGCUCAGCUAUUUCUAUACCGGUCAGCAAAUAUUCGAUGUGUGCAAGAGCGUGCGAGCCGCUCGCUUUAGUGGCAUCAUCUUUUGGAAGAUCAUUCCCCUGUUUUGACCUUCAAAAUUCCAUUUUUUCUUCAUCAACACUUCCUUUGGCAAAUAAUUCAUCAGUUUACUCUCCCUCAACAAGAUGGGUAACAGCACCAUCAGUGGCUUCACGAGGGGAAAAAGAUUGAAAUCGUCGACGAGAGGUACGUUGGAGUCAUAAACAUUGAUUUUUCCUUCCUCGAGUAGUAUCUCCACAGCCUGAUAAUGCAUGUCAUUCACGCUAAUGACUGUACGAAUCCUUUUUGCCUCAAUCCAGAUCUUGCCAUAUGGAUUUGUCCUGUCUCCUCUAACAUAUCUUAACAUUUCUUAUUCAUCCAAGACCAACGUAGGAACUAGGAAAACAAGUCCCACACCAAGGUUGACGCCUCUCUAUUGAGUUGAUUGUACCUAUCCUUGAGCUUCUUGCAGAAGUUGAGGUCCAUUAUCCUAUCGGCAGUGUCAUAAGCUUCCUGGUACGUUAACUGCCUUUUCCUCAUGAGGUAGAGAAUUAUGUCAACAUGCUGUGAGAUAAGAAGUUAAUUUUUAAAGAAGUCAAUUUUUAAAUAGGUUGGUAAUUGUAAAGAUGCAACGGAUGGUCCAUCUGUUGCAUAGGGUUCUCUGAAUCAAUAAUCCAACGCAACUUAUGCAACGGAUGGAUAAUAAGUUGCAACAGAACCACAACCAGUUGGACCAGUAUACCUAGCUAUUGUAACAGAUGUGAAAUCUGUUGUGUAGUUUCUUCUUCAUAGGGUAGAUUAGAAGGGCUAGGUUAGUAAAAGUAAACUUGCCAUGUCCUCGUACGGCAUAUGCAUAUCAGUCAUAGUCUGGAAAUUUUUUAGGGAAAAAGGAGGUCUUGGGUAAUCUGGUGUGCCUGGCUUGGCAUUCAUGGCCUGUCGUAGAUCCCUCUUCUCUUCGGCGCCAAGUUUCGCGUAUAUGUCCACCUUCUUGACUGGCACUUGAACUUCAACAACUUUUGGAGUGGGAGGAAUUGCAAAUUUUUUUAUUUCUGAGCGGAGAGUACGUCUCUAAUUGCUCUUUUCCUUCUCCUAACCAACGCUGUAGGAGUGUGUGGCUCCCUCACCUUCUUGGAUGGUGUGACACACCUCUUGGAUUUGAAUUCCUUGAUAGCUUUAGAGAUAGCCUCUACUUUUUCAAAGAGUUUAUCCUGUCUGUCCUUACACUCAUCACAUUUACAACGAGAACAUGAGGGUGAAGAGGGGUGAGAGGGACCUAUGUAAGGGCAAAAAUGGGUGUUUUCAAACAUAUUUAUUCUUUGGUAGAAGCAUCAGCAUGCCUGUCACUAACACCAACAACUCCACCAUAAGAAGCACCUGGAUCUACCUUAGGAAAAGGUUGGUCAUAAAGUGCCUCAACAUUAGGCUGACCUUGCCUAACUACUCUUCUUAUGGCUGUUGCUCCAGCCAAUUCCUUCUGUAUUAACUCCACCAUUGGGUCUGUAAUAGUAUCAACAUAACCAAGAGUAAUAUAAGAAGUCAUCACCAACUUCUCCUUAGUAGGCACGAUCCAUGGAUGUACAACCUAUAAAAAGAAAAAAUAAAAGACAAAUGCAUUUAAAUUAUAUAAUAUAAUAAUUUUCAUGGUUGGGCUACAUUUUUUAAAAAAAAGACCCAUCUGUUGCAUUGUUUGCAGUAUAUGGUUAAAAUUUGUUUGAGUCUAGUUUAGAGAAAUAGAGCAACACAUAGAUAAUCUGAUGCAAAAUAUCAAUCAUCUGUUGCAAUAGUUGCACAAGACGGGUAAUCUGUUAUGCAACAAAUGAUCUGUAUGUCACAAUAGAUGAAUGAUAUGUUAUCAGAUUAAACAUCUGUUACACAAUUUGCAGUAGAUGGUUAAUAUUUUAAGAGUCGGUUUCAGAGAAUCAAAGCCACAGAUGGGUAAUCUGAUAUAAGAUAUACCCCGUUGCAAUAGAUGUCCCAUCUGGUGUAUCAGAUAUAACAUCUCAUGCAUCAGAUAUAACAUCUAUUCAAUAACUUUCUUAUCUUUGAGUAGAAUUAUUUUACUUGAAGAAGACGUACUGCAUCAUCCGUAGGGUUAAAUAGAUCCGCCUCCUUAAUAUUGAUGUUGCUCUUUGCUGCCAACCACCUAAACAUCCUUGGAUGAUAAACCUCAUUAGGGUAAUCCAUUAACUACUUUCGAAGGGAAGGAAUAGCUUCAAAUGUCCAAGCCUAAAAAGUGUAAAUAGGAAGCAAGCAAAAAAAAAUCAUAAUAACUAUUUUCAAUAUAAAUUAAUGGAUGAGUAAAAUUAGUGAUUAAUUUUACCAUGAAAGCCCAAGGAAAGCUGUAUAAUGUGGUCCUCUUUCUCUUUCUGACUCUCCAAUUCCUCCUCUUUCUCACUUUUAUUUUCUUCAUCACCAUCUACGGACCCUUGUCCCACCUCCCUUAACUUUGUUUUCACAUCUCUCCUCAGCUUCACUUUUCCCUGACUGAGAUUGUUCAGGAAGCUCCUCUGAAUCCUUCUGUACUGUAGCCUUUUUUUUUUAGUAGUCAGACGUUGAUUCACUUUCACUUUAUUUUCUUUUGGGAGACAUAUUUUACCUACAGACAAAGAAAAACAAAAAUUACAUUACAGUUGAUGUAUGAAUAGAUUUUAAAAAAUACAUUACAAACACCACGAAUAAAGACACACCAGCAGCCACUACAACAAACACCACCAACCAAUGCCACCACCGGUGCCACCACGACGACCACAAGCACCACCAUCACCACCACCACCACCAACACCAUCCAACUAUACCAGGACAGUCAACGGAAAACUCCAAUGGAAACUAGGGAUUUCUCAAGUUUUUCCUACGAUUUUACCAUCAAAACUCAAAAUUGUAAACCCAUUCUCGAAGGUAAUACAACUAAAAGUUUUAUUUUUCAUCAUUAACUUAAAAUCCCUUAUUUUUUAGAAAAAAUAAAAAACAAAUAUAGAGCUCUUCUCAAACUCUAUUGCCUAUAAAGACAAAGAAAACGACUGAUACAAGCAAGAAUGAUAUCGAAAAUAACACCUAUGUGGUUGGAAAUGAAAACAAAAGCGAUCUGUUGUGGAGGGUUGAGAAAAUUUAUUGAGUAGUUAUUGUCUGUACUGUAUUGCUGAGUGAGAAUGAGAGAGAAAGAGCCAGACCUUGAGAUUUGAAAUGAUGAAACAUUUUGUAUGGGUUGAUUUGUAUUUUGGAAAAGAAUGACAAGUAGUUUUGAAAAUGUUAAUUUUAUCCUAAAUGAUCUUAAUUAUUUUUAAAAUCAUAAAAUAUAUGCGUAAUUUUUAAAAUCAUAUCAAAACAAUUGAAGUUGUAGUUGACUGAGUACUCUAGGAGAUGACCCUGUGAAAACUCACCCCUGGUCCUAGAUUAAUCAAUUUAGAAGUCUAAUAUAUGAACUCAAUUAAAAUUAUAAAAAACAAAUAUUCAACAUGUUGCGUCAGAUUUCUCAUCUGUUGUAAAUUAUCAAUCAGAUUAGGUAACAACAUAUUAUGAAUCUGAUGUAAAUUAUCAAACAGAUUAAGUCAUCUAUUGCGACAGAUUACCCAUCUGUUGUAAAUUAUCAAAUGGAUUGUCAUACGUCAUAACAAAUUACCCAUAUGUUAUAAAUUAUCAAAGAGGCGCUGCCAUCUAUUGUGGCUGACCCUAUGAGAACUCACCCCUAGUCCUAGAUUAUUCAAUCAAGGUAUUAGUACCCUAGUCCUAGAUUAAUCAAUUAAGGUAUUAGUCUAACAUAUGAGGUAGUAAGAAUCAGUUCGGCUCAGAGUGAUCGAUUGCCGACUUCGAUCGGGAGGAACACAAUAUCAUUUCAUCAUGUAAUUGGCAAAACACUCAAUUAAAGUUUUAGUUGACCCUCUGAGAACUCACAAUCAAUUAAGGUAUUAGUCUAACAUAUGAACUCAAAUGAAUUAUAUAUAAAUAAAUGCUCAACCUAUUGCAACACAUGUCUUUUCUGUUGGAUCAAAUCAAACAGAUUAUAUAAUCUGUUGCAACAUAUUACAUAUUAUUGUAAAUUAUCAAAUAGAUUAAGUCAUCUGUUGUAAUAGAUUACCCAUUUAUUGUAAAUUAUCAAAUGAAUUGAGUCAUAUAUUGCAAUAUAUUACCCAUCUGUUGUAAAUUAUCAAAUAGGCGUUGUCAUCUAUUGUAGUUGACAUUAUGAGAACUCACCCCUAGUCCUAUAUUAAUCAAUUUAGGUAUUAUUUGGACAUAUGAGGUAGUAAGAAUUGGUUUGGCUCAGAGUGAUCGAUCGACGACUCUUGUCGGGAGGAACACAGUCCCGUCUCAUUAUGCAUUUGCCAAAAGACUCAAUUAAAGUUGUAGUUAAACCUAUAAUAACUCACCCCUAGUCCCAGAUUAUUCAAUUAAGGUAUUAGUUGAACAUACGAGGUAGUAAGAAUUAGUUCAUCUCAGAGUGAAGAAUCAUUUCAUUUCAGAGUGAUCGAUCGAUGACUCUUGUUGGGAGGAAUGCAGUACUGUCUCAUCAUACAAUUGCCAAAAAACUCAAUUGAAGUUUUAGUCGACUCGUUGUGCUCAUUCAUCCAUCCCUAAUUCCACCUAGAUCAAUGUAGGUACUAUUAUUAAUCUUAACAUUAAGUUAAUGAGAGCACAUUUCAACUCAGAGUGAUCGAUCGAUGACUCGGGUUGGGAUGAACACAAUACUAACACCAUGCACAUGCAAUGACUCAAUUGGAUUUGUAAUUGACCUUGUGAGCUCAUUCAUUCAUCCCUCUUUCCACCUAGAUUGAUAUAGGUAUUAUUAUUAAUCUUAACAUUAAGUUAAUGAGAAGCUCAUUCUUUCAUCCCUAGUUCAUCCAAAAUCAAUUGCAAUGAAAUCCGUUGAACAAAUAACUGAGCUGUUGGAGAAUUUCAAAAAGAUAACAGUAUCUAUUGCAACAGAUGACAUUUCUUAUUUAAUUAUCAGAUAGACAUUUGCAUCUGUUAUGACGGAUGACUGAGGUGUUGGAAAUUUUCAAACAAAUAUUGAUAUCUGUUGUAAAAGAUGACGUUUUUGAUUUAGUUAUCAAAUGACAUUUUCAUCUGUUGUCACAGAUGACUGAGCUGUUGGGAUUUGUCAAACAGAUAUUUAUAUCUGUUGUAACAAAUGACAUAUCUGUUUGAAAAUCUUUUUGUUUUCUUUUAAUUUUAAAGCAAGCUACUGUCCGAGUAGAUAAAGUAGUAGUACUACUAAAGGCGGUAAAAAAUGUUUCUUAGAUAACUUAAAAAUCUCAUUGAGUAGUCUUGUCCUGUCUUUUCAAUCUCACCCGUUUUCUUUCUCGUGCCCCUCAAAUUAUUAGUGAAUAUUAAUUAUUGAAUAUUGAAACCCCUACUAUUUCUUUCUUUUCAUAUUGACUUGGCACUCUCAUCAAGAAAAUAUUAAUUAGGGGUUUAUUUUACUACCAAAUUAUCCUUAUUAAUUAUGCUUUGUAAAUAUAAAUUUGAAUAAAUACACUUUGUUUAGUGAUUUAAUAUUAAGGGUAGUACAUCUAGAAAUUAGAAUUACCUCAUCUCUCUCCUCCUCUCCUUCAGCCCUAAAUCUCUCAUUUUUUUUCUUUCAAUCCUCUUUAGGGUUAUCACAACCUUUUUUUAUCUCCUCUGUCUCAAAAAUUUUCAUUCGGAUCUAAACUAAUCGAUAUCCAUAUCUUUUAUUCCUCGACUGAAAUUGCUGUUUUGACCCCAUUUUGACAUUGAAUGAUAUGAUUCACUAUUGCUCUUUCAUUCUCGUCUUCUUCUUGCAACUUUAUUUACAUCUUUUUUAUUUAUUUAAUUACCAUUUUCCCAUAUCAUAUUUAUUUAAAAAAUUUGAAGGAACUUUUAAUUGUUGAAUAAACAUACCGAGAAUUUUUAUUAUAAGAUACAAAAAAAGUCAUCUGUUGAGAGAAGUUUAAAAGUCUUGUUGGCAGUAUCAUUUUUUUUUAUGUAUUUUGUUUGUUUCUUCAUUGUUGAUGCUGUUAUUGACGUUGUUGGUGGGGCUGGCAUUAUUGGAACUUGUGGUGUGGUGCUGUUGGUGGGUUUGGCAUUAUUGAAACUUAUGGUGUGGUGUAGUUUAGACGGUGGGUGCUUCUUAGCUUAAAAAUAGUGGAGUCCGAACAAUCAAACAGGAGAAAGAGAAAAAAAAUAAAAAGUUUAAAGUGAAUAAGAAGAGAGGAGUUGGUUACCAAAAUUUAAAAAACAUGUGCUGAGUGGAAAUUGAACUCAAGACCAAAAGAAAUAAAUAGCCUUAAGCAUCCAUAAACAACAACUAGGCUAACCAAACAACUCUUACUAUGGGUGCUCACUGAUUAUAUUAUAUACAUUUUUUUCUUUAUUUCCACAUACAUAUAUAAAGUUCGAUACGAGUUCAGUCUGUGCUCGCGUACCCGGAGGACUCCACGUGGGUUUGUCCCUUGUUGUUGAUGGUGUUGGAAUAUAGGAUGUAUGUUUCUUUGUAGUUGAUGAUGUUGUUGGAAUAAAUGUUGUUGUUUUCUUUGUUGUUGAUGUUUUCUAUUUGUUGUUUGUAGUUUAUGUUGUUGUUGAUGUUGCAACAGACGAAGAAACUGAUCGAACAAAUCAAACCACCAGCAAGGCUGCUAUGUAUUCCAAUAGACUCUAUAUAUGUUGCAUCAGACUCUAUAUCUGACGCAACAGACUCUACAUCUGACGCAAACUAUUCGGGAUUUAUAUGUUGUGUGUGUUACUUAAAUAAAACUGGUGACUUUAUUAAUAUGUAAAUUAAAAAAAAAUGGGUCUAAAUACAAUAUUUUAUCUUUUUGUUGUAUUUCCGAAAGAAACAUAUUGGUAAUAUGUUGCAAAAUAUAUUCCACCUGUCAAAUAACUUACAACAUAUGGACAAUCUGUUGCAACACAUGUAUAUAUUAGUUUGCUUUUCCAUCAGCUGUGGAGUCUGUUGCAACUUGCUAAUCAUCUGUUUGUUCAAUUUCAUCGCGAACAAUAGAUUAAUCUAAACACUUCUUGGCCAAACUCAAUUUUUGCUCUUGGACUGCUUCUCUUUUUUUCUUUGCAUCCUUUAAGCUGGCCUCCGAAUUCAAUUUUGGCUCUCAAUCCAACAGAAAAAAUUUAGUUUGAUUGAAGAAUGCAAAGAAAAAAAAGAGAAUCAAUCCAAAAGCAAAAAUUAAAUUUGGUUAAGUGUUUAGAAAAAUCGAUUGCUCUCGAUGAAAUUGAAUAAACAGAUGACUAGGAAGUUACAACAGAUGCCACAGCUAAAGGAAAAGAAAAUUAAUAUAUCCAUUUGUUGCAACAGAUUGUCCAUAUGUUGUAAGUUAUCUGACAGGUGGAAUAUAUUUUGCAACAGAUUACCAAUCUUUAUCUUUCGAAAAUACAACAAAAAGAUAAAAUGUUGUAUUUAGAUCCAUUUUUAAAUUUUUUUCUAAUUUACUUAUUAAUAAAGUCACCAGUAUUAUUUAAGUAACACACACAACACAUAAAUCCCGGAUAGUUUCAACAAUAUUGCAUUAAAUCUCAGAUAGUUUGCUAAUUACAUUUUAUCCCAAAAUUUUGAAUUGUGAUACAUAUGUUAAGCAGUGAUACAUAUAGCAUAUGUAUCACUAGUAAAUAUGAAUCCGGGAUUUUAUGUAAUUUUUUAAAACAUUAAGGGAUAUUAUGUAAUAUGGUGUCUUAAAUAUGAAAUUUGUGUAAUUUUUCCUUUUAAGGGAUAUGAACAGUCGUGGCUCGUUGUUUGACUAAGUCCAGUUCCUUCCAAUUCUCAAUAGGUUCCUCCGGCCUCCUCACUCACUCUCACUCACUCGCGUUCAUUCUACUAUACUUACAAUACUAAUAUGUCAGAUCCAGAUUCGUACAAGAAGGUUUAUACCGAGUCCUUGCAGUAAUUUCAAAGGAAUUUUGAUGAACUCCAGAGGGAUUUGGCCGACUUCCGAGCAAGGCUGAGGAGAGCUCUGCUGCUGCCGGAUAAAAAUUGUCAGGUUGACAAUAAUAAGAGUAAUAAUAGUAAUAAUAAUGAUAAUUAGGUUAUGUUUUUUCUUUCUUUUAGCGUAUGUAUUUCCAUUUUUUAUAUCCGAUCUACCUAUAAGGGAUUCAAAAAAAUCCAUGUAUAUGUUUGGUUUGGUUUGAUUUGGUCGAUUUUGAAUUUUUAAUUCUUAUUCAAUAUUUAAUUAUCAUUCUAUUUAUUCCCUAUUCAAAACAUGCCGGCGGUUGGAGUUAGGGAUGUGGUCAUGAUGAGAAAUUCUCCUAAAAAUGGUUCGUUAAUAAAUAAUAAGGAACUAAAUGAUAUUAUAAUCAUAAAAGAGAGAUUAUUUGAUUUAAAAAAGUCACAACAUUGGAUUAAUUUAAUUAAGAUAUAUAUAUGAUGAUAUGAUUUUUAAGAAAAAAGUUAAUGAAUAGUCGUGACUGUGACUUUUGUCUAAACACAUUCAAUAAACAAACAAAAACAAAAAACGCUUCUGAUGCAUCAAAUUCCUCAUCUGUUGCGACUUAUGAAUCAGUUAGAAGAAAUAAAAAAAUCUCCUUAAACAGAUGGUCGAUUUAUAGCAACAGAUGGUAUAUCUGUUGAAACAGAUGGGUUAUCUGGUGCAACAGAUAUACAAUCUAUUGCCAUAACUAAAUUAAUAAAAAUGGUUAUUAAAGAAACGGAAAGAUUAAGUNNNNNNNNNNNNNNNNNNNNNNNNNNNNNNNNNNNNNNNNNNNNNNNNNNNNNNNNNNNNNNNNNNNNNNNNNNNNNNNNNNNNNNNNNNNNNNNNNNNNNNNNNNNNNNNNNNNNNNNNNNNNNNNNNNNNNNNNNNNNNNNNNNNNNNNNNNNNNNNNNNNNNNNNNNNNNNNNNNNNNNNNNNNNNNNNNNNNNNNNNNNNNNNNNNNNNNNNNNNNNNNNNNNNNNNNNNNNNNNNNNNNNNNNNNNNNNNNNNNNNNNNNNNNNNNNNNNNNNNNNNNNNNNNNNNNNNNNNNNNNNNNNNNNNNNNNNNNNNNNNNNNNNNNNNNNNNNNNNNNNNNNNNNNNNNNNNNNNNNNNNNNNNNNNNNNNNNNNNNNNNNNNNNNNNNNNNNNNNNNNNNNNNNNNNNNNNNNNNNNNNNNNNNNNNNNNNNNNNNNNNNNAAUAUAUAUAUAUAUAUAUAUAUAUAUAUAUAUAUAUAUUAUAUGUUGCAAUAGAUAUAUUAUCUCAUGCAACAGAUUAUCUAUUUAUUGCAACAGAUAAUAUAUCUGUUGUAAUAGAUGAUUUUUCUGAUGUAACAGAUAUAUAAUAUGUUGUCCAACUCAGUAUAAAUAAAAAACGAUUCCUGUAAAGAACUAAUUAUUUUAAUAAUAAUAAAUCUGAAAAGUCAUGACUUAUCACAAUAUUGUUUAAUUUAAUUCAGUCAUAACUUCUUACAGUGAUCAAGAAUGUCAUUAAUAAAUGGAGGUGAACAGUUGCGCCUUUAAAUCUGUUUUAUUAAUUUAUAUAAUUAAAAAGUCAGAAAAUUUGGAUGUCAUGAUGAUAAUUUUUUUUUAAAUAAGAUAUAUAGAUUAAAUGUUGCAACAGAUAUAUUAUCUGAUUCAACAGGUUAGCUAUUUGUUGCAGAUCAUGAUAUAUCUGUUGUAACAGAUAUAUUAUCUGUUGUCCAAAAUAGUGUAAAAAAAAAAUGGUUCCUGGAAAGAACUAAUUAUUAAUAAUAAUAAAGCUGAAAAGUCAUGACUUAUCAUAAUAUUGAUUAAUUUAAUUAAUUCAUAACUUUUUACAGUAAUCAAGAAUGUCAUUAAUAAAUGGAGGUGAACAGUUGCAAUUUUUUGCCUAACUCAUCCUAGUUCAAUCCUCUAUAAAUAGGUCCCUCCUUACUCAAUCGUUCAUUCUGCUACACAUUAUUUAUUCUUCACUCUUGUUACACCUUCAACUACUUUCUCUUGAAGGACUUGAUAGCUUUUUCCUGUCUCUGGUAAGUUGUUUUCUUGAUUUUUGUGUAAAUAUACGUUGUAUUACAUUACAUUACAUUCGAAUUCUUUCUUUGCUUUACUUUUGUGUUUACAUGUGUGUUUUGUCAACUUAUGCAUUUUUUUAGAUAUGGUUGAUCCUGUGUGGGAUGUCGCUAUUUUACGAGACGCCAUGAGGGAACUGCAGAAGGAGGUUCAUGACCUGCAUUGGGAGUUGGCCGCUAUCAGAGUAAGGAUGCUGGGGGAGAUCUGCAAGCUGCGGAGGGCACUGCUGCUGCCCUUUGAAGAUUGGCCGGCUAACCAUACAAAUAAUAAUGAUGUUAAUAAUGAUGUUAAUAAUGAUGAUAAUAAUAAUUAAGCUUUUUUUCUGUUAUCUAUGUAUUUUUUUUUGUUUUAUAAAAAUUAUGUUUGAUGCACUUGACUUUUUAUUUCUUAUUUAAUUUUUAUGCUGUCUAUUUCUAUUUCUUAACGAAUGACAUGUCUACAAUUAAGGAAUAAUUUGAUUCCAGUAUCAAUAGCAAGAACAUAUGAGUUAUCUGUUAGGUUUUGUUUGUGACAGGGGCUAUAUCUGAAUUUUGUUGUUCGAAACAUAUUAGUAAUCUGAUGAAACAGAUUAUUUAUCUGUUGAAGCAAAUUACUAAUCUGGUGCAACAGAAUACCCAUNNNNNNNNNNNNNNNNNNNNNNNNNNNNNNNGAAUACCCAUCUAUUCGAUUCAUAAUCAUAUUACGGGUACCUAGAGCCCUUAAACAUGAAUCCAACAUGAGUCUACUGUUACAAUAGAACAUUUAUCUGGUGCCGCAGAUAAUGAAUCUGUUUAAACAGAUUGCUCUUGUAUUGCAUUCAUGUUCGCGUGCAAACUAUUGUUGAAAAAACAACACACUAGCAGUUACCCAGAUUCAACUAAAAAGCAUAAUCUGACUCACCAAAGUCUCCUCUCAAGUAAAUUCCAAAGUUGAAAGUGAUUUACGAAACAAAAUUUAACAUAAGAAUUUGAUCAAAGAGCAGCAGUCGGGGUAACAACAACAACAACAAUGGUCAACAAGAAGAAUAUGAAGUUGAUAAUGAAAUAUAAGAUGAUGAUAAUGAAUCAGAAGAUGAUGAAUAAAGCAGCAGCAACAAUGAACAACAAAUAUCGUGAAGAGAGAGAAAAUAAAAACGGAUGAGGAGAGAGAAAAAGACGCAUUUUUUCCCUUCGUUCCCCAUUAUAUAUUAACUAACAUUUGAAUCAAAAUGUAAAUUUAAAAAAUUGUGGGUUAUUUUGAAAUUUUUCAAACUUUCUUAAAUCAUAAUGAAGUAUUUGUCACCUCUACUCAAUUAUUAAGACCUGUGUCACCUACACCUCAUUUUAAAACUCUUUUGUCACCUGUGGUCCAAACCCCCUAGUUAUUGUGGUGUGCAAAAAUUAAAAAACAAUACAAAAUAGAAACAAUUGCAAAUGACGCAAAGAAAAAACAAAGGUCAAUCGUCAACACUUAAACAAAAAAGUCUGUUAGUAAGACAAUGACUUUUUUAUUUUAUUUUUUGAAGUAGAAUUAUUAUUAGUAUGUAUAAUACGGUUUAACAAUAUUCAUCCAUUUAUAUUAACUAGAUGUGGAAGGCCCGUGCAGGGGUUUAAUAUAUGUCAUUUUUUUAAUCUUAAGUGAUACAAAUAAUAUUUAGAUAAUCAAUUAUAUUUUUAAUAUAUUUUUAGAUAUUUUUAAUUGUAAACUAUUAUAAUUUAUAAUAUUUUUUAUGUAAUUUUUGAAUAAUACUAUAUAUUAUUCUCUUUGUCUAAUGACAAUGACAGUCAAUUAUAUUUUUUAAAUAAUUUAAAUUUUUAAUUAUUAUAAUUUAUAAUAUUUUUUCUUUUAUUCUACUAAUUAGAAGUAACAUAGUAAAAUUAUUAUAAAAAAUACUUGUAAUUUUUUUAAAUGGGCCCAUAAAAGAUGCAUAGUUAAUUUAAAAUAUCAAGAGUUAAUUUAUUAUUUUAUGUUUAUUUUACCUUUUUUAAUAAAUAUUAUUAAUUUUUUAAUACUUAAAUGACUCAUAAUAAUCAAUUAUGAGUGAUAUAAUAAAAUCACAGUUGAAGCAACUGAAGUAGUUAUGUCAUAAAUGUCUAUUUUAUUUUAUAAAUGUCUAGUUUAUUUUUAUUAAAUAUUAUUAAUUUUUAAUACGUAAAUGACUUAUAAUAAUUAUUUAGAGGCAAUAUAGUAAAAUUCUGGUUGAAACAGCUGAAGCAGGUAUGUCGAUCAUGAGUAGUCUGUUUCAGCUGCUUAUUUUCACUUAUUAUAUAGGAGAAAAAUAGAUAUUCAAAAAUACUUAUUUAUUUAAAAAAUUAUUUAUUUAUUUAUUUAUUUAUUUAUUUUACCAAUUUAUCAUUGCUAUUAAAUAAUAUUUAUAACUCAAUGCAUUUUCAAAAAAAUAAAAUUUAUUUAUUAAAAGAAAUUCUAUAAUUAAUCUACGUUUUUGUUCUUGAUUUUGAUCAUCGGUGCAUGUCAAGACGUCAUUUAAUAUCAACAAAAACACGUUUUUUCAGUGAGCUAAUUGAAUGAAAAAAUCAUAUUUUGUAGCAUAAAUUUAUAUUAAAUAUAAUGGAAAAAAACCUAUAUUUUUCUCUUUCUUUUAAGAAAAAAAUAUUCCAAACCGACACCCCAUUAGACUUUUUUUAAAAAAAUUACUUUUGACACUGAAACUUGGACCUAUUUUUGUUGAACACUUAAACUUGGACUUAUCUUAAGCCUGUCAAACGAACUGAUUUGACCCGGCCCUAUCCGACCCACCAUAGCGUUCCGGCAUGACCCGACCCGAUCAACUCACGGACUAUAAGUUUCCUGGUCCCGGGCUGGGUAAUUUUUUUUGGGCCCGAUUAACCCGGUCCGGACCAAACCUGGUCCAAGCCCGCUGGUUAAUCGGCCCGGUAUCUUUUUUAAAAAAAAACAAAUAUAUUUUUUCGACAGUUUGGUCUAUUUGAUCGUUGGGCCCAACGACUAUAUGACCGCUUGGGCACCAAAAAGGGCUAAAUGCCCAUUUUAAAUAAAAAAAAAUUCAAUUAAAAUAUUUUUUUAAACCCCAAAAAAUUUCUAUAAAUCCCUACACUUUCAAAUCAUUUUCCACACAAUUUUUAUUCUCUCAAAUCUCAUUCUCUCUCAAAUUCAAAUAUUCUAUAUAUUUCCUAAAGUGCUCAAUUUAAUAUUUUAAUUUUGUGAUUGCAAAGUACGAGUGAAAGUUUUCGGAUACUUCCAAAAUUUGGUAUUGCCGUUCCAUCUCUUACUUUUAAUUUUUAAUUAGUGCAUUAAUUGUUGAAUAUUUAAUUUUAUUAUAUUUGCGUAUUUUGAAUUUUUUAGUUUGAUUUAUAUUAUGGAUAAAUUAAGAAACCUCGCCACUAAAAGUAUAAAAAAAAUUGUCCCGAAAGUGGUAGUGGUAGUAAAAAUUGAAUUACUAGCGGUAGAGAUACUUCAAGUAGUAGAUAUACCCGUGUGCCGCCUCCGGUAUCGCUUAGUCAACCUUUUGAGGAAGAAGUAGGUGUAGGUGCUCAUAAUACUUUUAUGUAGAGGCUUAGGAAAAUUACGGUAUAGAAGAAGAAAAUGAAGUAGAUGCGGUUGAUUUAGAUGAAGAUGACGAAAAUAUUGGUGAGACAAUCGUAGUAGGAAAUGCUAAUAUUAGAUCUGAAUCGGUUAAUCGCCCUCCCCGUCCUCCCCGCCCCCCAAGAGCUCGUAAAACAACUAGUAUUACAUGGCAAUUUUUUACACGUAUAUCAGAUACUGAGGUGCAAUACAAUAUUUAUCAACAAAUACAUAAGCAUAAAAGAGGAGGCAAGCAAAUGGGUACGGGUACGUUAAUGAGAGAUAUAAGUGAUAAUCACGAAAGAUAGUUACUUAUUGCAAAAGGUGGUCAAGAUGUUGGUGGGCCAACACAAACUAGAAUGAACCCAACAACCGGUCAGGUAAUUAAGAAGUAUAAUAAAUUGAGGGACCGGAAAGAAAUAGCAAAAAUGGUAGCUGUGGGUUGUUUGACUUUCAGUUUUCCUUCUUCUGAUGCUUUUAUUCAUUAUAUUCAAGCAAUUUAUAAUCCUAUGUUUAGUGGUAUUUCUAGAAGUACUUGUCGUACCGAUAUUUUUAGACUUCAUUCACAAUAUUAUUUUUAUUUAUCUACAUUGUUAAAAAAAUAUUCAAUGUAGAAUGGCUCUAACUUCUGAUCUUGGUCGUACUGUUAAUAAAAAUGAUUAUUUAACCAUUACUUGUCACUGGAUAGAUAGUAAUUUUACUAUGCAAAAACAUAUUCUUGCUUUUUUGUAUGAUGAAGAUCGCAAAUAUACUGGAGAUUUUAUUGCUGAUUCGAUUGCUAAAGUUGCAGAAUUUUAUGGUAUUGAAAAUAAAAUCUUAUGUAUUACUUUUGAUAAUGCUUCUAACAACAAGACUGCUAUUACAAAGUUAAAAUCUAAGCAAUCUCCGUCGUUACCUGAAAUAUUUCAUGUUAUGUGUGCUUUUCAUGUAUAUAAUUUAAUUGUAAGACAUGGUCUUGAGUUUUUUGAGUUUUAUAUUGAAAAAAUCCGGAUUGCGGUUGGUUUUAUUCAAGGAAAUAAUCGAAGAAAAAAAUUAGAGAAUUUAAAGUUAAAUGUGAACAAAAUGGACUUGCACGGAUAUUGAUGCCUGAAGAAUGUGAUACUAGAUGGAAUGCUACAUAUAAUUUUUUAAGAACUUGUUGUAAAUAUAGAGUUCCUAUUACACUAACUUUUAACCAACAUUGUGGUUCAUUUGCUGAUUCGACUGAAUGUAUGCUACAUGAUUCUGAUUGGGCUGUAAUUGAUGAUCUUGUUAUUUUUGGAAAAAAUUUAUAUAGCUACGGUUGAAUUUUUUGGUACUUAUUAUUCUAUUAUUUGUAAUAUUUUAGCAUAUAUAGCGGAUAUUUUUGGUUUUCUCAAAGAAUAUAAGAAUAAAAAAAGGUUACAAAGAAGCUGUUGGUGCUAUGUUUGCUAAAUUUAAAAAAUAUUUUUUUCCGAUUCUCCCUGUUUACUUGGUUGGUGCUAUGCUAAAUUCGUGUAUGAAAUAUACUACUAUGUCCCACUUUAGUACUCUUAUUUAUUCUAACUUAGAGAUAAAUACUAACAAUGAGUCUGAUGAUGAAGAACAAGAACAACCAGAUUUAUGGACGGCUAGGAGUGAUGCGAACGCUUACAUAGAUAAAUUAUAUAACCAUUAUGCUGAUUUACUUGAUUUAGCUGUACCGACAAAUAUCACUUCAACUAUCGCUCCUUAUCCUCCCGAGGAGCCAUCAUCUUCUAAAAGGCUGACAUAUAGUGAUUUUUCUAAUUACUUUUAUGAUUUAAAUGGGUGGAACAGUGUUGAGGCGGAAGCUUACACAACAACUUAUCGGGAAGAGCUUAAGUAUUAUCUUCGAACGUCGAUAGAGGAUCGCAGAUGACGAAUCAACUCGUUGGAUUGGUGGAGGAAUAAUGAAACACAAUAUCUUGUGCUUUCAAGAUUAGCUAGAGAUAUAUUGAAUGUUCCAAUAUCAACCGUUGCAUCGGAGAGCGCUUUUAGUCAGGGACGAUAACAACUUGGAGACAACUGACACUCAUUGGAAAGCAAUGCUAUGAAUGUUCUAGUUUGCCUGGAGAUUGGAUUAGAGCGGAACGAAGAAAUCAAGGAAUAGAGGUGAAGUCGAACGACGAACAGAAACUUGAAGAAAUUAUGACUUCAAAAGAGAACUCAGCAGAAUCAAGUUCAGUGCAUGAUUUUGCCUCCAUUGACUUUGACUAUCAUAUGCAAGUUCCCAUUAAUAUUAACAUGGAUGAGUUGGAAAAAAUGAUGAGAACUUUGUAGAUUUUUCAUUCAUGUACAUUAUAAAUUUUGAAUCAUUUUGCAAUUAAUAAAAUAUAACAUUCAUUCACUCCUUAGUCCUUACUUUGUAAUUUUUUUAAAUUUAAUGAUUUAAAUUGAAUUUCUAUUUUAAAUUAAAUACUUAGUUUUAAUAUAUUACUAAUUUAUUAUCAAGUAUUAUUAAUUUAUUAUAUUAAGUAGCAUAUUUUUUAAAAUAGUACAUAUAUUGAAUGAUACAUAUAUAUGUGUAUAUAUAUUCUAUAGACUCUAAAGUAGUAUAUAUUUAANNNNNNNNNNNNNNNNNNNNNNNNNNNNNNNNNNNNNNNNNNNNNNNNNNNNNNNNNNNNNNNNNNNNNNNNNNNNNNNNNNNNNNNNNNNNNNNNNNNNNNNNNNNNNNNNNNNNNNNNNNNNNAUAGUAUAUAUUUUAUAAAUUAGUAUAUAACUAUAUAUAUAGUGUGUGUGUAUAUUGUAGUAUAUGUUUUAUUUAAAGUAGUACAUAUAUAUUGAAAGAUACGUAUAUAUGUGCAUAUAUCUUUUAUAGACUCUAAAGUAGUAUAUAUUUAACGUAUACAUGUAUAUAUGUUUUAUAAAUUAGUAUAUAACUAUAUAUAUAGGGUGUGUAUUUGAGAUAAGUCGUGUCAUUUAAAGUAGUACAUAUAUAUUGAAAGAUACGUAUAUAUGUGCAUAUAUCUUUUAUAGACUCUAAAGUAGUAUAUAUUUAACGUAUACAUGUGUAUAUGUUUUAUAAAUUAGUAUAUAUAUCAUUAUAUUGUAGUAUAUAUCUUGUAGCAUAUUUUUUAAAGUAGUACAUAUAUUGAAUGGUACGUAUAUAUGUGUAUAUAUUUUCUAUAGACUCUAAAGUAGAUAUAUGUGUAUAUAUUUUUUAAAUUAUAAUGUAGUAUAUACUAUAUAUAUAGUGUAUAUAUAUUGUUUAACGUAUUUAAAAUCAGGAAAUUGCAUGUCAUAGACCCAAAUAUGGGUGGCUUUAGAUAUUUGAUCCCAAUAAGAAAUGUUUUUAUAGAAUAACCUUCCUUACUUUUUAAGUAUAAUACAAGUAUCAUUUUGCCCCUCUUCACCUCAAAUAUAUUUUUUAAACUUUCCAUAUUUAUUUGUCUUCCAAAUUUUAUUUUUAUUAUUUUUAAUUUUUCCUUUAAUUUUAUUAUUUUCACUUUUUCCUUUAAUUUUAUUAUUUUAUUUUUUAUUUUUUUAUUUUUUAUUUUUCCUUUAAUUUUCUUUUCAUGUUUUGAUUCAUUUGUCUCAACCUUUAUUUUUUUUUCUCUUUUUUUUUUCUCAAGCAUUAUAUAUUUCUUUUUUUUUUUUAAUUCAUUUUUCUUUAACCUUUAUUUUUCUUUUAUUUUUGGUUUUUUAUCAGUUCUCUUUUUUUUCCCUCAUUUUUCUCAAACUUUAUUUUUAUUUUUCCUCUCAUUAUUUAUUUUCUUAAUUUUUUUAAUUCUUCGCUUUUUUCUUAAUCUAUAUUUUUUUUCUUGCCUUUUUUUUACUCUUUUUUUUAUUUCUCUAUUUUGUUUGAUCGUUUUUUUCUUUUUUCAGUUCUCAUUUUUUCCCUCAUUUUUCUCAAACUUUAUUUUUAUUUUUCCUCUCAUUUUUAUUUUUCUCAAUUUUUUUAAUUCUUUACUUUUUUCUUGAUCUUUAUUUUUUUUUCUUUCCUUUUUUUUCUCAAUCUGUUUUUUUAUUUUUCUAUUUUGUUUGAUCGCUUUUUUCUUUUUUUAUCAACUUCUAUUAUAUUUUGCUAAUAAAUAAAAAAUAGAAAAUCUACAAAGGUAUCUUCGAUUUUUGGCAUCAAAGAAAAUUUAAGGGCAUGAAUUAUUUUUAUGAAGUUCUUUGAAAAUUCUUGAGAUAAGUCGUGUCUCUAAGGCGAGAGUGUUAGAAUAUCUCAUAAACAAAGGCAUAAUGUGGUAGUGUCAACUCUUUUCCGUGGGGCAUAAUUUAUUAUUUGAAAGUCUUUGAGCUAAGUCUUGCCUCUAAGGCAAGAGUUGGAGAACUUGAUAAAUGAAGACAUAACAUGGUAGUGUCAACUCUUUUCCGUGGGGCAUAAUUUAUUAUUUGAAAGUCUUUGAGAUAAGUCUUACCUCUAAGGCAAGAGUUGUAGAACCUCAUAAAUGAAGACAUAGCAUGGAAGUCUCAACUUGUAAUAUCCCGUAUUUUUCUAGCCUAGAUUAACCCUCAGUACAUGGGUUAUCCUAAAUAAAAUUUUUGAAAUACUUAGUAAUUUUCAUAUUUGACCCAUCUAUUGCGUAGGAAAUCCAAUUAUCUUUCCAACGAUAUAAAAUUUGCCUAAAUCCGACAACCGAGUAAGAAGUUAUGGCGAUUUUAACUUUCAAUCGUUAAACGUCGCCAUUCAGGCCAGUAUCGCGUCGCGGAAUGUGUUAAGAUAGAAAUUGUUGAAUUCUAGUGUUGCUCUGCAAUGUUGGCGCAUCACACCAUAUACCUAGUUCACAAUUAUCAAUUUCCAGUGUACCAACGCGAUUCCACCUCGUCGCGGUGCACUUCCAGUUCGUAAAUAAAGUGGCAACACGGUACCACCGCAUCACGUCACCAUGAAAUUUCUUAGUUAUCAUUUUUCAGUGGCCUGGAGCGAUAGUGGCGCGUCGCACCAGGGGUCCAAAUCGGAAAAAUUUCACGAAAAAUUUAAGUUGUGUCUAGGGUUAAAAUAGUCUUUUUCCAUGAUUUUAUUUCGCCCAGAUGUGCGAUUUAAGCCCUAAAAAUGUGUAAAACCCUUCAUUAUUCUCUUUUCCCCAAAUCAAAAGGUAUUUCUCUCUUAAGAAAGCAAACCCUAAUUCAAGAAUUAAGGUCAAUCCUCAAGAAUCUCCCCAAGAACCUUUAAGAAGUCUUCUUCUAAGGUAUGUUAGAUGUUCAUUCAUGGAUCUUUACCUUCCAUGGAGCCCGAUAAUCCUUUUUCAAUAUACAAGAUUUAUAAUUUAUGAUUUUCAUGUUUGAAUUAGAUUGAAUUCAUGUUCAUGAUAUUGUUUGAGUUUUAAUCCAUGAUUUAGAGUUCCAAGAAUUGAUUGUAGUAUGUGUUGAAUUAUAUCAUAUUCAUGAUAAACCCUUCAAUUUGCAAGUUGAUUGUUGUUACUAUGUUAACCCUAAGUGUUUAUGAGUUCAUGAACCAAGUAUGCAUCUUAUGUGUUUGAUAAAUUGUCUAUGAGAAUGAAAUCAUGCCAUUAUAGCAUGCUAAUAUGUAUUUCCCAUUCAUGUACAAGUUAAUGCAUUACAAGUGUUUGAUGGAAUGUCUCUAUAAAUGAAUUAUGACUAAGUGAACAUUGUUAUGUUAUUCAAGAUUAUGUUUUGCUUUACUUUUCAUGUUAUCGAGUCCUGGGGGUAUUUAAUACCCGACAACUUAGCUAUUUAUUUAGAGCCAAUGUCAGUUACAAAAUAGUAUCAAUCAUUUCACGAUCAGUAGUACUCUCAGUCUAUUACAGAACUCAGUAGAAUUCUGUCAGUUACAGAACUUAGGAAAACUUAGUAAUCUCAAUGAAUUCAGUCCAAAUCCGUCCAGUACAAUAGUUUAGUGUCUUUCAGUUGGGAGUAGGAUUCAACACCGAGUGAACCCAAGGAUGGGGGCUCACUUGUCAGCAGAGGGUGUGAUCCUUAAAAACAAUCCUUUCAUUCCAGAACUACGUAGCCAGAGUAGGGUAAGAUAUCAUACUUGCCAGUUGAGGGUUGAUGAGGUGCUCUAUCUGCCAGAAAAGAGUACCACCAUUCUCAUUUAGGGAACCUACCACUCGAGGGUUACCCUUCAGCUUGUCUUUACCCGUGGUACGGUACUGAUACCCUUCCAAUUGAGAUUACAGAUUGGACCCCAGCUCAGUUAUCUUAUCUUAUUUGGGGUAUGUCGGUUAGAUUAUUACCUCCCACUAUUUUAGUUUUGGUCUCAAUCUUCAGAAUAGAACUCAGUUCAGUUCUACAGAAUCAAGACUAUCAGAUACAGUCACUCAGUUAACAUUAGUUUAGAUUAUUAGUGAUCCCAGAUUAUUAGUAUAUUCAGUUAUCAGUUAUCAGAUUCAGUUUCAGUAUACUCAGUCCCAGUAUGCACAGUAUAUUCAGUAGUUAUAGGCCCUCCAUGUAUGCUGAACCAGCUCUUGCAUAUCAUCCAGUUAGUUAUUAUUCAUGUAUAUGAACCCAUGCAUUCAGCGUUACCUCAUUUAGUAUACCAGUACAUUCCCAUGUACUGACCACAUACCGUUUCUUGUGCUAUGAUGUUUCAUAUCAUAGGUUCGGACGCUCAGUUUUCUGACUGCACUUAGCCAGAUUCAGCUAGCAGUAGCCGAUUUAGCAGUGAGUCCUCAUCUAUCAAGAAUAUUCUUUUAUUUCAGUACUUCAUCUUAACAGUAUUUUAGUAGAUGGAGUUAGUUGGGGGACUGUCCCAUCAACUUCACUUUCAGAUAGAUUCAGUUAGAGACUUUUUCAGACAGUAUUCAGAUUCAGAUGUGAUUAUAUUUUAUCUAUAUUUUAGAUGUUUUGAACCUUAUGGCAUUUCAACCCAUUAUUUUGCAUUUAUUUUAGUAUUAUUGUUCAGUGCUCAUAGCAGAUAUCAUUCAUGGGUUAUCUUGUGAUCCUCCGGGGUCGCAAGCAUCGUGUAGCGUCCAAGGUGCAGACUCGGGGCAUUACACAACUCUUGCCCAUGGGGCAUAACUUGUAGUUUGAAAGUCCUUGAGCUAAGUCUUGCCUCUAAGGCAAUAGCUGUAGAAUAUCUCAUAAAUGAAAACAUAACGUCGUAGAGUUAACUCUUGCCCGUGGGGCAUAAUUUGUAGUUUGAAAGUCCUUGAGCUAAUUAAGUCUUGCCUCUAAGGCAAGAGUUGUAGAAUAUCUCAUAAAUAAAAAUAUAACGUGGUAGUGUCAACUCUUGCCCAUGGGGCAUAAUUUGUAGUUUGAAAGUCCUUAAGCUAAGUCUUGCCUCUAAGGUAAAAGUUGUAGGACAUCUUAUAAAUGAAAACAAAACGUGGUAGAGUCAACUCUUGCCCGUGGGGCAUAAUUUUUAGUUUGCAAGUCUUUGAGCUAAUUAAGUCUUGCCUUUAAAACAAUAGUUGUAGAACAUCUCAUAAAUGAAAACAUAAUGUGGUAAAGUCAACUCUUGCCCAUGGGGCAUAAUUUGUAGUUUAAAAGUCCUUGAGUCAAGUCUUGCCUCUAAGGCAAUAGUUGUAGAACAUCUCAUAAAUGAAAAUAUAACAUGAUAGAGUUAACUCUUGCCCGCGGGGCAUAAUUUGUAGUUUAAAAGUCCUUGAGUCAAGUCUUGCCUCUAAGGCAAGAGUUGUAGAACAUCUCAUUAAUGAAAACAUAAUGUGGUAGAGUCAACUCUUGCCCGUGGGGCAUAAUUUGUUGUUUGAAAGUCCUUGAGCUAAGUCUUGCCUCUAAGGAAAUAGUUGUAGAAUAUCUCAUUAAUGAAAAUAUAACUUGGUAGAGUCAACUCUUGCCCGUGGAGCAUAAUUUGUUGUUUAAAAGUCCUUGAUCUAAGUCUUGCCUCUAAGACAAUAGUUGUAGAACAUUUCAUAAAUGAAAACAUAACGUGGUAGAGUCAACUCUUGCACGUGGGGCAUAAUUUAUUGUUUGAAAGUCCCUGGGCUAAGUCUUGCCUCUAAGACAUUAGUUGUAGAACAUCUCAUAAAUCAAAAUACAAUGUGGUAGUGUCGACUCUUGCCUAUGAAACAUAACUUGUUGUUUGAAAGUCAUAAGUCUUGCCUCUACAAUGUAGUAGUGUCAACCCUUAUCCAUGAAACGUAGCUUAUUAUUUGAAAGUCGUAAGUCUUGCCUUUAUAAUGUGAUGGUGUCAACUCUUGCACAUAAGAUAUAACUUGAAUGGAAGAAAUCGAAGAAAAGAACAACAAUAAUAAAAAUUACGGAAAAAGAAGAAAAUGAAGAAAAAUAUUAAAAAAAUAAAAAUCAAAAAAAAUGUAGAAGUUGAGAGAGAAAAGGGAAAAAAAGAAAUAUUAAAUAAAAAAAAGGUCAAGAAAAAAUUAAAAAGAAAAAAAUCAAAGAAAAAAAAAGUUUUUUGUUUAUAAAUGUAGACGUUGAAAGGUGUAAAGAAAAAAAGUAAGGGUUGAGAAAAAAAAGGAAAGAAAAAAUAAAAAUAAUAUAAAAGAAAAAAGAAAAAAAAGAAGUUGAGAGGAAAAAAGUAAGGGUUAAGAAAAUUAAAAAUAAAAAGAUAAAAGAAAAAAUAAAAAUAAAAUUAAAAUUAAAAAGAGAAAAAAAAUAAAAGUUGAAAAAUACAAAUAGUGAGUUGGUAUCCAUUAUAAGUAUCAUUUAUGUAAUUUACUCCAUUGAUCAAGGGUAAUUUUGUCCAGAAAAAUAUUAAUUAAUAGGUAAAGGUUAUUUUAAGGAAGCUUUUUUUUAGGGCUAAAAUUUGAAAGUCACCCCAAUUUGAGUCUAUUUUUGAGAUUCACCCUAUAGGUGGGUAUAUAUAGUGUAUAUUGGAGGAAAAACUUUUAAUUUUUUUUGGAUUUUGACCGGUUUUGAUCAAAUUUUGGAUCGAUUUUGACCGAUUUUAGGUGGGUUGGACCAGAUUAGAUUUAGUGGGUCGGUCCCGGUUGUUUCAAUAAAAUUUACUAUUGGGCCCGGAACCGGACCGGUCCGUUUAACCUAGCCUGGACCCGGCCCACAAAUCGGCUAAAUGUAACGAGCCAAUUCUGGGUUGACCCGGCCCGACCCAAUUAACAGCCCUAACUUAUCUCUAAUUUAGGUUCCAGUUUUUGAAUAUUUAAGUGAUUGAUAAGAACAAGUCCAAAUUCUACUUACCAAAAAAAAAAAAAAUUAUACAAAUACACAACUUAUGUUUCCAAUAUUACAAAAAAUCCAACUCCCUAAACAUAUUACAAAAAUUUCAACAUAUACACAAAAUGCUAUGUAUAUGUCGGCUAUGUUAUGUAUAUUAAUAGGGGGAGAGUAAAGUAACUUAAAAAGUGGGAGAGAGUGUAAUUGCUUCCAAAAGGGUUGAUAUUUAUGUUAUUUAUAAAAAAAAAAAAAAAAAUCCAAAUUCUAGUGUUAAAGAUGCAUGGUUGGUAAUGACUUUAUUGAUGAUUAGUUGUCAUUGAUUCUAUGUACUUCUAAUUUCUUCAAUUCUAAAUUAUCUAAUGUAAUUUUUGAGAAUAGUUAUCUUAAAUUAUUUGUUAUUUCAUAAGUUUAAGAUAAAAAUUAAUUCUUAGGUUUUCAUUUUUACUAUUUGUAGUAAUUGUUAUUGAAGAUUACAAAUUAAAUACUUUAAUUAUGGAUCAUGAUGCAUAAAUAGAUAGUAAAUAUUCAAUGAAGAGAAAUUCUAUCUUAAAAUGAAAAUAAAUAUACGAUAAUUAAAUUAAAAUUAUUCAUAAUUGAUAAAUUCUUAAGAGGGUCACAUAAAAGAGAAACAAGACAAAUAAUUUGAGUUGAAGGAAAUAACAAUUAUAAGUUUGAAAUUAUUAUAUGGUAGUGAACAUUGGACCGUAAAAGUCCCACACGCACACAUAUAUAUAUUAUUGCAUAAAUGUUAACACUAAAAAUGAAUAUAUAAGAUUAGAAAAAUAAAAAAAUAUCAUAUUUGCCAAAAAUUGCAACUGUGUCACUCAAUUACAUCUUAUAACUAGAGAAAAUUGAAUGAAAGGAGUCUUUUAAGUCUUAAAUGAAGGAUUGGUGACAUUGACCAACUUAAAGGGUCAAACAAAAUUAGAAAACUUGAUUAAGUUAAUUGUGGACUUGAUUAAUAUUUUCAAAACUUUCUAAUCUUUUCACAAAUCAACCCACACCCCUCUCCUCUCCAAAUCAUCGACCGUCUCUCUCCUCUCUCUCUAGACAGCUUCUCUCAACACUCCUCCAACCAAAAGUUCUGCAAAAUUUCUCCCUUCAAUCCCCGACGAUUAAUAUUCAGGCGAGUUUCUUUUUGACUUUCAACCGUCAAUCGACGUGAAAACUUCUCCGGCAACAACAACUUCGAGUUUUUCGUCGUUCCAUUUCUUCUUUCACAGGUAAAAAAUUAUGUCUUUUCAGUUAUGAAGAAACAAAGGAACUUGAGCCAACUUCUCUUCUAGUAUUGGUUAACAAUUUUAAUAUUUCUUACCUAAAUUUGAAAUGUGGACUAAAUAAAACCCUAAUUUCUGGCAUUUCUUCUCUACUCUUUUCGGUGUGAAAUAUAAUUUUUUGUUGUUAUUGUAGUUCUUGUUGUCGAACUAUAGAUUUGAUUUGAUCGUGAUUUUUUGUCACCGUUGAUGUUCUUAGUGUGUGUGCGUGUUGUGUUGGUGUUGUUGGGUUGAUUUAUUAUUUUUCUUGAUAAAAAUGGUGUUGCAAUAGAUUAACCAUCUGAUGCAACAGAUUAACUAUUUGAUUCAACAGAUUAACCACCUGAUGCAACAGAUUAACCAUCUAAUGCACCAGAUUAACCAUCUGAUGCAACAGAUUAAACAUCUAAUACAACAGAUGAACAGAAUAGAUCAUUCAUCUGUUGAGACAGAUGACUCUUCUAUUUGAAAGAAAUCUAAAUAAUAUUGAUCCAAUAAAUAACUCUUUGGCAACAGAUAAGUGAUUUGUUUUAAUAGAUGUGUGGCCUAUUUUUAUUAUUUUCAACGGAUUACUCAUCCGCUACAACAGGUUGUUUAUAGGUUGCAACAGAUAACCUACCUGGUGUAAUAGAUAAGAGAUAUAUUUUUAUUAUUUCCAAUGGAUUACUCAUCCGCUGCAAUAGGUUGGUUAUAUGCUGUAACAGAUAUCCUACUUGGUGCAACAGAUGAGUGAUCUAUUUUUAUUAUUUCCAACGGAUCACUCAUUCGCUGCAAUAAGUUGGUUAUAUACUGCAACAGAUAUCCUACCUAGUACAACAGAUGGGUGAUUUAUUUUUAUUGUUUUCAAUGGAUUACUCAUCCGCUACAACAUGUUGGUUAUAUGUUGCAACAGAUAUCCUACCUGGUGCAACAAAUGAGUCAUCUGUUAUAAUUAUUUACAACGAAUUACUCAUCCAUUGCAACAGGUUGGUUAUAUGUUGCAAUAAAUAACCUUCCUGGUGCAACAAAUGAGUGAUCUAUUUUUAUUAUUUCCAACGGAUUAUCAUCCGUUGUAAUAGGUUGGUUAUAUAUUGCAACAGAUAAUUUUUCUGGUGCAACAGAUGAGUGAUCUGUUUUUAUUAUUUCCAAUAGUUUACUCAUCCAUUGCAACAGUUAGAUUAUAUGUUGCAACAGAUAACAUACCUGGUGCAACAGAUGUGUGGUCUAUUGGAACUGUUAUUUUACUGUUUUGCAUAUUAGAUUUACAGUUAUCCUUUUUAACGAUGUAUUAAUCAAUUAUAAUCUAUUUUAUGUUCCUGUUAAUUUAAGAUAAUAUGGCUCCCAAAAGAAAAGAAAUCGAAUCAAGUCCAAGUAAAGGAACAAGUGAAGCAGCUAGGCUACAUCCAUCACUCUAUGAGCCUGCUUUACAAGCGUUAUCUCAAUCAGGAGCAGAAGAUAAUGAACACAGGGAGGAGGAAUAUUUCAAAGAGAUGGUCCAAAUGCUAAUAUCCCUUCCAUCGAAGAGUUGGUCAAAACCUUCAGCAUUGGUCGUUAUCUUGUGAGAAUGCAGUACGAUGGUGCUACAGAUUUAACGGGUGAUUUCGUGGUUAAGUCAUCCAUGAAAAAAUCUUUUGACACCUUCAGAAAAAUACUUCGAGAACAAAAAUUGGAUUCUUAUUUCAGGAAAAACUGCUUUGGGUAAUAUCUUGAUUUGCUGGAGGACAACAAUGCUUUUUUCCGAAUAAAAAUGGUACAUGAUCUUCUCAAGCAUAGAUUUAUGUAUGAAAACAAAGAUAAGAUGGAUGAGGUGUGGAUAAAUUACUAUGGAAUGUCUGUUUGUUCUAGUUGGAAGGAGUUUGUCAUAGUUACUGGACCAAAAUAUUAUCCUCCUCCUCCUUCUCAAGUUAUACCUACUUUAACCCAAAAAAAUACCCCGCACACCCCAAAAUCUAAAGGCAAGUCGAGUGAUCGUGAUGACCUGGUGCCCAUUGUUGGUCCAAGCUUCAAAAACAAAAAUUUGAUAGAAGCAUUGAAAGGUAAAAGACUUUUAAAGAAGCAUAAGCAAUAAUUGUUCUUGGUAUGGUUUGUACAUAAUAUUCUUUGGGCGAGAAACAUUAACAACAACAUAAGCCUCGGUUUAAUAAAUCUCUUUGAGGAUCUUCAGGCAUUUAACAGCUAUUCUUGGGGUUAUGAAAGCUUCAAAAUGACUAUCAAAUAUUUGGUGAAUCCGUUAACACCAAAGACAGUCAACUCAUAUGGUUUUUUAUGGGCUUUCAUGGAAAAUAUUUCUUUUAUUAUGGUAUGAUUCAUUUUUUUAUUCAAUAAUGCUUUUGAUUUAUUGGCGUUAUAUUAUAGGCUUGGGCAUUUGAAGCCAUUCCUUAUUUGACACAAGAAGUGAACUACCAGGAAGAAGUUUUCUGUCCAAAAAUUCUGAGAUAGUUGUCGGCAAAAACUGAUAAAAAUGUAAAAUUUCUUGAUCUUUUCAAUCCCCCGAAGGAAGCAGUAAGUCUAAUUCUAAUCAAGUUUUUAUUUUAAUUAAUGAUUAUUUAAAAUGAUUUUAUCAUCAUUCUAAUAUAUGUACUGAUUUAUUUUAGAUUGUCCAUCUGUGGCUUGUUCCGACCAAUCAAGAGUUAAAGAUGCCAUUUUUUCUUACUUUACGGUCUGCGCAAAUUUUAUAGGACCCUAAGGUCAUUGAUAGAAUAAAAAUGGAAUUGUUUGGAGCAACAUCCAUCUCAAGAAAAAUAAUUUUGGAGGGUGGGAUUCUUGUUGUUGAUGAUGGUAGUGGUAGUGGUAGUGAUACUGCUGUUGGGGCUAAUGAUUCUCCUCUUACGGUUUUUGAAACAACAAGCCAUUAUGAUAAUGAUCAUACUGGUUAUACAAAUUUUACCACUUCUAGCAAAUGUUCUGCAUGCAAAUGUCAAGACUGCAAGGCGAAAAAUGAUUGAGUGACUAAUACUAUUAAUGCACUAAUUGCUUCUGUAAAAGAAAUAACAUCUAAGAGGGGAGUCAUUCUAUCAAAGAGAAUUACAUAUCCAUACACUCCACUAGAGAUCAAGGUGGCUAAGAGGAGAAGGAAAGAUAUUUCCAGGACAUCAUCAAGCAUCGAAAAAAUCAAAAUUUCAUCACCUCUGUCAUUUUCUUGCACCGCUGUUCAAUGUACAAGGGCCACAGAAGAGCUGCAUGAGCUGAAGAAGAUGAAUGUAUAUCAUUUGUUCCAACAAAUAAACAGGCACAUAUCUAUUUCAACAAAUGAUACAUCUACUAAAAAUUAUCAAACAAAUAUAUUUAUCUGUUGCAACUAUUGUCUAACCUGUUGCAACAGGUGCGUUAUCUAUUGCAACAUAUGUCCUUUUAUUUUAGCAAAUCAAAUAGGUUUUCGUACUAUGUUAAUUUGUAUCAAUAGAUGAGCCUUAUGUUGCAACAGAUGGGUCAUCUGUUCGAAAUUAUCGUACCACUUUAUUUUACCAGUUCAAAUUUGUCCCAAUAGAUGAUCCAUUAAUUGCAACGUAAGACUCAUCUAUUGCAACAGAUAGACAAUCUAUUGUAUAUCUGUAAUAAGCAUUGACAAUUAUAGCUUUCCAGGUGGAUGUCACAGUAGAAGCUACUGCUGAAGAGCAUAAUAUCACAAUUAAUAAUCCAUCAACUAUUUUCAAAAAAGAAGAAAAAGUGGAGCCUGUCAGUUUGAGAGAAUGGAAGAAUUACCCGUUUGAAGGGUUUAACAUCUUGGACGAGGCUCCAAAAAAACUAACAAGGUUGAUCAACGACUAUUCAGAAUGGAUUGCCAAUGGGCUGUUAAACCAUCACGCCGGCAGGUACAUAAAUCAAUUUUAAAGAUAUUAAUUUAUACAAUUCUUAUUGUAAAAACAUGACAUUAAUACAUAUAAAUUAUCAUGUAAAAAAAAUGAUGCACACUACAAAGUGAACGAAUUGAGUCUUGAUUUUGAUAUGUUUGACUUUUUUGUUGCACAUCUCGAAACGAAGAAUUGGUUCUAUUUGAUGUCACAACCCCAAACUUGCUGGAAUGAUGAGGUUUAAAUGUCAUACAUAUUACUAUUAAUUAAUACUCUAUUUAAUUGCAUCUGUGUAUUAAUUUUUGCAUCAUGUAAUCUAAAAUAUUUGAUAAUAUAUGCAGCACAUCGAUGUCAUUUUUUACUACCUCCAAAAGAAGGCCAAGUUGCAAAUAUGAUAACAAUACAGAUACACGAUAGACAAUUAUUUGUAUAAAUUUUACAUCAAUAAUGCCUAUGAUAGAUAUUGUCAACAACAACUGGAAGUUUCUCGAAAUGAGAAACACUUAAUCAACAUCAUCAAAGGUUUUAGCAUUCCAGCUGGCUUACCUUGGCAUUUGAUCGAUGAAGUGUACAUAUCAAUUAAUUUUAGUGCGGAAUUCCAUUGGGUGUUGGCUGUCGUCGUUCUAAAAGAGAGGCACAUUCGAGUUUACGACUCGAUGUUGCGAAGGAUACGUUUUGGGCCAUCAUCUGAGAUACAAAAGUUGUCCAAAAUAUUGCCUACUUACUUUUAUAUGAGUGGGUUUUAGGACUAAAAGGUUCGUAUUGAUUGGUCGACGAUCGAAGCAUACCGGGAUAAAAUGGGUAAUCCAUUUGAUGUAGAAUAUGUUGAAAGAAUUGCUCAAAAAAUCAUUGGUAGCCUGUAAGUAUAAGUAUCAUGAUUUAGUUUCAUUUCAUAAAUUUCACAAUGCUUACAUAAACUGCAAGAUAUGGAUUAUCCAUUUUUUUUAAAUGCAGGAAUUGUGGUCUUUUUGUUGCCGCUUUCGCUGAGUAUUUGAGGAUGGAUUACAAGUACCAAGUGAUAGACUUGAUGCCAAAUUAAUCCGUAAAAUAUAUACUACUCUUUUAUGGAAAUACGGAGAAGCAAAAGCUCAGAAACCAUUCGCAAGCGACAUUAAAGAUCCACGACGACCAAACUCAAAUUCCGUAGCACCGGAUGAAGAACAAGUUUUCCAUAUUGAGUAGAUCUUUAUAACUUGAGUCUAUCAAAGUAAUAACCUCUCCUACUUGGUUAACUUGUUGAUUUAUUUGUAGAGUAGUUCAUUUGUACCCAUAAUAAUUUUUUACAUUUCACUUAUUUGUUGAGUUAUUUCAUGUAAUUUUCGAAGGCUUCAAUUUAUUUUAUGUUGUCUAUGAAUAUAAUUUAAUCCUUAGUUUUGAACUUGUUAAUUGAAAUAAAAUACUAGAUUCAAAUAUCGCAACAGAUAAUACAUCUUCUGCAACAAACAACAUAUCUUAUCAAAAAAAUUUAGACAUAUAUUGCAACAUGUAAGUCAUCUGCUGGAAAUUAUUUAACAGGUCUUCCUGCUUUUUUUAUUUGUUCCAAUAGAUUACCUAUCAGUUGUAACAUAUAGAUUAUAUGUUGCAACAGAUUGUAUAUCUGUUGUGACAGACAGACAGACAGAAACAUUUGCAUAAUGCAACAGAUGACCAACCUAUUGCAACAAAUAAUCAAUCUAUCACAACACGAAUGAUAUCUAUUACAACAAAUAGAUAAUCUGUUGCAUUAGAAAAUUCAAAUUUCGUCAGACAUAAAAAAAUUGUCACUACACUGUAAAGUGAACAAAGUGGCUUGAAAUAAAAAAUUAUUAUUGUGUUUGUCUUUAAACAUAUUUUUCUUUAUACAAGGGCUCCAAGCAUUUAGUUAGGACCUGAUAAACCCAGACCUCUUGCAUAUUUUCCACAACGGCGUCGCACAGACCGGCUGUUUCUAUGUCGGUCAGCAAACACUCGAUGUAUGUAAGCGAGUACGACCCGCACGCAGGACCAGUUUUAUUUUUUUGAAGGUGGACGUUCUUAUUUCGACCUUCAAAGUCCCAUGAUUCCUUUUCUUCAAGACUUUCGCCGACAAAUGAUCCAUCAGUUUACUCUGUGUCAACAACUUCAAGAGUGGAUGCACGUGGGUUAAAAACUUGGCCUUCUUGAAGACAGGUAAGUUGCAGUCAUAAAUCUUAAUCUUUCCCUCGUCAAAUAGUAUCUCAACAGCGAGAAAAUGUUUGACUUUCACGUUCAUGACUACAAGGAUUCUCUUUGCCUUGGUCCAGCUCUUGCCAUGUGGAUAUGGCAUUUUUCCUCUAAUAUAGUUAAUCAUGUCUUCAUCCCAUUUGAACGUAGAAACUAACUGGUUAAUUCCCCAGCUGCCGGGACCAGUUUGACUACGGAGAGUAUCGUGCCUACUCUUAAAAUUAUUGUAGAAGUUGAGGUUUAUUAUCCUAUCGGCAACAUCAUAAGCAUUCGGGUACACUAAUUGCCUGCCCCUCAUGAGGCAGAGAAUUUCAUCAACAUACUGUGGUAUAAGAAGAUAAUUUUUAAAUAGGUUAGUAAUUGUAAAGAAAAAAAUAUAGUGGAAAGAUUCUAUUGCGGAGGGUUCUCUGAAUCAGUUCAUAGAUUACCCAGCUAAUGCAACUUAUGCAACAGAUGUGUAUUAUGUUACAAUAGAAUACCCAGUUGUUGCAACAAAUUAUACAUCUGUUGCAUAGCUUCUUUUUCAUGGAGUAGACAGGAAGGCUAGGGCAUUAAAAGUAAACUUAUAUUGUCCAUAUACCACUCAUGCAUAUUUAUUAUACUCGUGAAGUCUUGGGCGUCAAAUAAAUGCAUGGUGUAUUCUUGUGGAACCUUCGUCUUGUCAGCCAUGAUUUUUUGCAGUUCCUUCUUCUCUUCGUAGCCAAGUGCCACGUAUAUGUCCACCUUAUUCAAUGGCCCUUGAACUUCAAUAACUCUUGGAGCAAGAGGAUUUGUAAUUUUUUGGAUUUUCGAUUGGAGAGUACUUGGCUAAUUGCUCUUUUCUUGCUCAUAACAACCGUUGUAGAAAUGUAUAGGUCCCUCACCUUCUUAGAUGGUAUGACACCCCUUUUAGAUUUUAACUCAUCGACAGCUUCAGCAAUAGCCUCUAGUUUUUCAAGGAGUUUAUCCUCUCUGUCCUUGCACACUUUGCAUUUGCAAUGAGAACAUGGGGGUGAAAAAGGGUGAGAGGGAUCUGUGCAAGGGGUGUUUCCAAAUGUAUUUAUUUUUCCAGAGCACCAACAUGCUCAUAAUCACUACUAGCAGCAGUAGCAGCAUGAUGUCUUCUACCAUCAUCAAUAACUCCACCAGCAACACCCCCAGAAGAAGCACACGAAUCUGUUGCAGUAGGUUGGUCAUGAAGAGCUUCAACAUUAGGCUGACCUUGCUUAACUGCUCCUCUUAUAGUUAUUUCUCCAGCCAAUUCCUUCUUUUUAACUCCACCAUUAGGUCUGCUAUUGUAUCAACAAGACCUAGAGUAAUAAAAGAAGUCAUCCCCAACUCCUGCUCAGUAGACACAAUCCAAGGAUACACAACCUAUAAAAAAGACAGAAGGCAUUUAAAUCAUAUCAUAUAAUAAUAAUUUGCAGUCAAUUGGGUUACAUGUUAACACAGCCAACUUAUGCAACAGAUGAUCUAUCUUCCACAAUAGUUGAUCUGUAUGUCAUAAUAGAUUGUCGGGUUCAAGGAACCAGAGCAACAGAUGGUUAAUCUGUUACGAAAUAUGGACUGUCUGUCCUAAUAAAUUACCCAUAUGUUGCACCAGUUGUAGUUGACGGAUAAUAUAUUGCAACAGAUGACCCAUCUUUCACAACAGAUGGCAUAUCUAUUUCAAUAUCUUUCUUUGAGGCAAAUUAUUUUAGUUGAAAAAAGACGUACUGGAUCAUACGGAGGGUUAAAGAGAUCAGUCUCCUUAUGUUUUUUGGUGCCCUUUGUAGCCAACCACCUAAGAAUCCUUGGAUGAGAAACCUCAUCUGGGUAAUCCUUGAACUGUUUUCGGAGGGAAAGAAUGGCUUCAAAUGCCUAAGCCUAAAAAAUGUAAAUAGGAAGCAAGCAAAAAAAAAGUCAUAAUAACUAUAUUCAAUAUAAAUUAAUGGAUGAGUAAAAAUAGUCAUCAAUUUUACCAUGAAAGCCCAAGGAAAUCCGUAUAAUGUGAUCGUCCCUGGGCAUAGCUUUGUCAGUAAAUAUUAGACAGUCAAGUAGUAGCUGUGAUAUUCCCCAGGAAUAAUCGUUGAAUUUCUCAAAAUCAUCAACAAGCACCAAUAAAUCAUCUUUAAUGACUUUCCUGACAUCUCUUGCCAAUAAAACGGAAUGGACAAACCAAACGAAGCACAGUUUCUCCCUGUACUGCUUUGUUAGGUUUUUAUCCUCGAGAUCUGCUGUCAAAUCCCCUGCUUUGUAGCUACGUCCAGCAAUUCCUAAUAACCCAUAUUUUUUUCUUGCAUUUGUUGGACCUUUUUUGGGGUGUAUCCUUGAUGAGAGGUUCUUCUGGAGGAUCGCAUCUCAAGAUGUCACUAUGGCAAAUUCUUUUAAUCCAAAAUAAACCAGCAUUCCACAGUAGAUGAUUCAGAUUUCAUCCAUCUUUUCUUUGCCCUCCUUCAAAUAUUUAUCAUCCCCCACGUACUUGAUCUUGCGCUUGAGAAGACCAUAUACCAUGCUCAUUUAAAAACGGCGAGUUUGGUCCUCAGGCAGCUUAACAAAAUAUGCGAAGCAGCUUCUAUUAAAAAGUUCGUCUAUGUUUUCAUUCUUCAUAAUACUCCUUAAUUCAUCAAAACCUUUCCCCAAAUGACAUUUAAGUACAAUAUCAUCAGUUACUUCUUUAGGGUGAUCCAUCAACACCGCAACUCAAAACCUGUUGAUACUAAUAGUUUUGACAGGAUCAUGCUGGGAUUUCGAUAUUAAUUCACGCCUUAUUGGUGAUAAAGAGUCCUCACUUUCCUCAGCUUCUUUUUGUCCUGAAUGAGAUUGUUCAGGAAGUUCUUCCGAAUCUAUUUGUACUCUAGCCUUUUUUGUUGGGUGGUCAGAUGCUGAUCCACUUUCAGUUUCUUUUCUUUUGGGAGAAUCUUUUAACUACAAACAAUAGAAAAAUAAAAAAAUACAUUACAUUUGAUAUUUGCAUAAUUUUUUUAAAAGAGGUAAGACAAAUUUCAAUAAAUUAUUAUACGACACAUUACAAAAAAAUACUCCAAUGGAUAACCUAUCCGUUGGAAUAGAUGGGAAAUCUAUUUGAAGACCUAUUUAAUAUCUCCCAACAUAUCUUCCACCUGUUGCAACAGAUGGACCACUAAGACCACCACCAACACCACAACCAAUGCCACUACUAAUGCCACAACCAAUUCCACCACCAAUGCCACCAAGACCCCACCAAUACCACCACCAAUGCCACCAAUACCAACAACAAUACCAAGACCGCCAACACUACCACCAAUGCCACCAAUACCAACAACAAUACCAAGACCGCCAACACUACCACCAAUGCCACCAAUACUAACACCAAUACCACCGACACCACCACCAAAACCAUAAAUACCAACACCAUCAAAAACACCAUCCAAUAAUAUCACGACAGUCAAAAAAACACUGCGAUAAAAACUAGGGUUUUCUUGGGUGCUUUUUAUAUUUUUAGCAUUAAAACUCAAAAUUGUUAACCCAUUCUCGAAGAUGAUAUAACUAAGAGUCUUCUUUUACAUAAUUAACUAAAAAUCCCUUAUUUUUAGAAUAAAAACAAAUGUAGAACUCUUCUCGAACUUUGUUACCUGCAAAGACAGAGAAAAUGAUGGAUACAAGCAAGAAUGAAGUCAAAAAUAACAACUAUGUGGUCGAAAAUUGGAAGAAAAUCGAUCUGUUUUGAAGGGUUGAGUAAAUGUUGUUUGUAUUGUUGAAAGACAGAGAGAGAAGAGCAAGAACUUGAGAUUUGAAAUAAGGAAAAGUUUUUCCCAUAAAUGGAUGAUUUGUUUGGGUUGAUUUGUAAUUUUGGAAAAGAAUGACUAGUUUUGAAAUUGUUAAUUUAGUACGAAUUGAUCUUAAUUAAUUUUUAAAAUUUUAAAAGAUAUAUAGUUUUUAAAACAUUAAGCUAAGGAGAAUCUUUUCAGCUCAGAGUGAUCGAUCGACGACUAGGAUCGGGAUGAAUGCAAUACCAACACCAUGCAAUUGCACUGACUCAAUUGAAGUUGUAGUUGACCCUAUGAACUCUUUCAUCCCUAGUUCUACCAAAAAUAAAUUUAUGUACUAGCUUAACAUUAAGUUAAGGAGAAUCUUUUCAACUUAGAGUGAUCGAUCGAUGACUCGGGUCGGGAAAAUACCAACACCAUGCAAUUGGAAAGAAUUAAUGGAAGUGGUAGUUGACCCUAUGGACUCAUUCAUCCCUAGUUAUACCCAAAUAAAUUUAGGUACUAGCUUAACAUUAAGUUAAUAAAUCUUAUCAAUCGAUGACUCGAGUCAACAUGAACGUAAUACCAACACAUGAAAUUGUAAAGACUCAAUUAAAGUUGUAGUUAAACCUAUGAACUCAUUCUUCCCUAGUUCUAACAAAAUCAAUUUAGGUACUAGCUUAACAUUAAGUUAAUGAGAAUCUUUUCAACUCAGAGUGAUUGAUCAACGACUCGGGUCGGGGCAAUACCAACACCAUGCAAUUGCAAAGACUCAAUGGAAUUUGUAGUUAACCCUAUAAACUAAUUCAUCCCUUGUUCUACCAAAAUCAAUUUAGGUACUAACUUAACAUUAAGUUAAUGAGAAUCUUUUCAACUCAGAGUGAUCGAUCGAUGACUUGGAUCGAGAUGAACACAAUACCAACACCAUGCAAUUGAAAAGACUUAAUUAAAGUUAUAGUUGUAGUUGACCCUAUGCACUCAUUCAUCCCUUGUUCUACCAAAAUCAAUUUAGGUACUAGCUUAACAUUAAUUUAAUAAGAAUAUUUUCAACUCAGAGUGAUCGAUCGACGACUCAGGUCAGGGCAAUACCAACACCAUGCAAUUACAAAGGCUCAAUGAAAGUUAUAGUUGACCCUAUGGACUCAUUCAUCCCUAAUUAUACCAAAAUUAAUUUUGGUACUAGCUUAACAUUACGUUAAUAAGAAUUUUUUUAAUUCAGAAUGAUCGAUCGACGACUAGAUUAGGAUGAACGCAAUACCAACACCAUAUAAUUGCAAAGACUCAAUGAAAUCUAUUGCAAGAAAUGACUGAGCUGUUGGAAAUUUUCAAAUAGAUAUUCAUAUAUGUUGUAACAGAUGACAUAUCUGAUUUAACUAUCAAAUAGACAUUUACAUCUAUUGUGAUAGAUGACUGAGCUGUUGAAAGUUUUCAAACAGUUAUUGAUAUCUGUUGUAAUAAAUGACAUAUCUGAUUUAAUUAUCAAAUGGACAUCUGCAUAUAUUGUUACAGAUGACUGAGCUGUUGGAUUUUUUCAUACAUAUAUUGAUAUCUGUUGCAACAGAUGACAUAUCUAUUUGAAAAUCUUUUUUUUACUUUUAAUUUUAAAGCGAGCUUCUGUUCGAAAGAAGAAAGAUAGAUAAAAUAGUGCUACUAAAGGCGGUAAAAAAUAUUUCUUGGAUAAUUCAAAAAUCUCAUUGACUAGUCUUAUCUUGUCUUUUCAAUGUCACCCAUUUUCCUCGUGCCCCUCAAGUUAUUAAUGAAUAUUAAUUAAUGAAAAUUUAAAACCAUGUCUAAAUCUAGAAUUAUCUUCUCUCUCCUUCAGCCUUGAAUUUAUUUUAUUCAUCUCUCAUCUUUUUCUUUCUCUCCUCUUUAGUGUUAUCACAACCUUUUUUCUCUCUUUUCUCUCCUCUUUCUCAUAAAGAUCCUUUUUGAUCUAAAUUAAUCCAUAUCUUUCCUCGACUGAAAUUUCUAUUUUGAUCCCUCUUUGACAUUGCAGGUAAGCUAUGGUUCACUAUUUCUCUUUCAUUUUCCUCUUUUUUCUUUGCAUGUUAUUUAUAUUUAUUUUUUAUUUAAUUACCAUUUACUCAUAUCAUAUUUAUUUAAAAAAAUUAAAGGAACUUUUAAGUGUUGAAUAAAUGAACCGAGAAUUUUUAUUACAAUAUGCAAAAAAAAGUCAUCUAUUGGGAGAAGUUUAAGAGCCUUAUUGACAGUAUUAUUUUUUAUAUAUGUAUUUUGUGUGUUUCUUUGUUGUUGAUGAUGUUAUUGAUGUUGUUGGUGGGUUUGGUAUUGUUGGAUCUUGUUGUGUGGUGUUUUUGAUGGUAUUGGAACAAAGGAUGUUGCUUCUUUAUUGUUGAUGGUGUUGGAACAAAUGAUGUUGUUUCUUUGUUGUUGAUAUUUUUUAUUUGUUAUUUCUUUGUAGUUUAUAUUGUUGUUGAUGUUGCAACAGAUAGAUCAAUUGUUGAAACAAAUCAAACCACUAGCAAGGCUGGUCUGAUGUAUUCCAACAGACUCCACAUCUAUUGCAAAAGACUCCACAUCUGUUGUAACAGACUACACAUUUGUUGCAACAGACUCCACAUCUGUUGUAACAGAUGGAUAAUGUUUUUUCAAUUUUUCUCUUGAUUGACAUUAAUUUUUUUCCUCUUCUUUGUAGAUAUAAGGAACUGAAAGUUGAUCAAAUUUUGUCCGACCAAUAUAAGAUGCUACAGUAAAGAUGAGUUCAGAGAAAUAAGCUGCUUCCAGAUGGAACCACUUCAUAUGUGGGAGGUAUGUAUUACUAAUAAUGUUAUCAUAAAAACACACAUAGAGUACACUGAUUUUGUGAAUUUUGUUUUUACCGUUUAGUUAUUGAUUAUUGAAAUAAGAUAUCUACAAUUUUACAUUUAAGUUUGAUAGGUCCAAAAUGAUAAGGCUGAGGGACCAUGAAUAUGGUUCUAAUAGCCUAUUAAGAUUUAAUGUCGAUUGUUGCUCAUAUUUAUGUGUCGAGAAUUGUGAAGGCAUCUAGUUUUGAUGUCAUUGUAAAGAGAUUCAAUAACCAUUGAACUAACUUUUAGGGUGCAUUAAACUCUGAGAGGGCCUUCGAAGCCUCCCACUGCUUCAACCAAGAAUGAAAAUCAAUAUUGUUAUUGUCCUAGCCCAAAUUUAUAUGGUUGGGUAGCUCAAGGUGAUGAUUAUACACCAAAAGGUGCGGUAGAAAAAUGCCUGCGAGGGAAAAUGGGGGUUGAUAAAGGACUAUAUCAUUUGAGAGCUAAUUGAAGAGGAAACAUAGGGUAGAAAGAAACUUCUAGCGAAUCUGACCGAUGAAACUGACUUAGAAAAUAAGAAAUUUGAACCAAGUGCAAAUAUAAAAGUAUAUCCGUUAAUAAAAAAUCCAUAUUUUGUUUCUCUAAAAGAAAAAUAAUGCAGAUGGACAUUUUUCUAGAGAGCUGCGACUAGGUAGCAUGGUCGAAAUUAUCACCUAGAUAGAAAAUAGCAGAAGACCAAGUAGCAACCUCACGGGCAUCGAGGGUUGAAAUGAUAUACAGUAAGUCUAGAAAACUUGCGCCAAUAACAGCUGUAGUAAAAAUAAAGAGUCUAAGAGAAGUCUACAAUUUUUGAAUUUUAAAUUGCAUCCCAUGCCUUUUUGUUUGUGUUUUCGAUUAGGUCCACUGGUAUUGACCUGAUCAGAACCACAAACAAGAUUAAAUGGCAGAUUGAGUAUCAUUACUUGCUUAGUAAUAUGGAUAUAGUUGAUUGUGUUUUAUAGCCUUAACAUACUUUCAACAUAUCUAAGAAAAGAUCAGAGACUUGCUGUAGUAUGUGAUAUUCGAUAAUUUUCAAACUUGCCAAUUUGGUAUUCAAGCUUGUCGUUGCCAUCUUUGAUAUUGGUAUAGAGUUUGUAGUCUUUUGUGAGCUCGAUCAGAAAUACUUUCUUUGAAGUUAUGGCAUUGUAGAAGCCCUUCAAAACACUUCCUUCAAAAGCCUUAAAUGAUACAUGUAGGGUCGCUAUGUAUGUUUUAGGCCAAAAUGUGUUAUGCACACUUAAGCAGUGGUCCCAACAGUUGAAUAGCUCACUUUUAUUGAUUGUUACUCAAUGCAUCUUUGUUGAACCAACCUUCAAGGGAUUUGAUAAAUUAAUUAGCAAGGAGUUACGUAACGCUUGAUCUAAAUUGACUCUACCAAGCCUAUCAAACAUUACGUAACUCCAGGCUCAUUACCCUAUCAAAAACCUUUGUCCGAGUUAGUGGACAAAUAAAAUGAGCUCAAUCUCUCAGCCUUUCUGUUGAUCGCUCUCUCCCAUAUAGAUCACAAGAUAUCCACCAUGCAAAAGUCUACACCGUCAGCAGAAAUUCUUGCUAUAGUGAAAAACUUUAGAAGGCAAGAUUAGCAAUCUCUCAAUAUCACUUUUAUAACUUUCUUGACGUCUCUUACAAUUAUAUUGGAAUGGACAAACGAAACUAAGAAUAAUUGCUCGCUAUGUCCUUUUCAUUAUAUUGGCAAGAGACAUCAAGAUAACCAUAAAAAUAAUAUUGAGAGAUUACUAGUCAUGCCUUCUAGAGACUUUCGCUCUGGCAAGUAUUUCUGCUGACGGUGUAGACUUUUGCAUGC
RNAcentral lists this long non-coding RNA (65848 nucleotides) under Capsicum annuum. RNAcentral's name for it is "long non-coding RNA (CANN_LNC002168)". The record is from RNAcentral. Lineage: Eukaryota; Viridiplantae; Streptophyta; Magnoliopsida; Solanales; Solanaceae.